RNAcentral lists this long non-coding RNA (68047 nucleotides) under Populus trichocarpa (black cottonwood). RNAcentral describes it as "long non-coding RNA (PTRI_LNC000108)". The record is from RNAcentral. Lineage: Eukaryota; Viridiplantae; Streptophyta; Magnoliopsida; Malpighiales; Salicaceae.
UUCCAAACAUGGUUGUGUUUUUGAAUAAACAAGAUCAAGUUGAUGAUGAGGAGCUGUUGCAAUUGGUAGAGUUGGAGGUAAGAGAAUUGUUGUCUAGUUAUGAGUUUCCUGGUGAUGAUAUUCCAAUUAUCUCUGGUUCUGCUUUGUUAGCUUUAGAGGCUUUGAUGGAAAAUCCUGCUAUUAAGAGAGGAGAGAAUCAAUGGGUUGAUAAAAUUUACGAACUUAUGGAUAACGUUGAUAAUUAUAUACCAAUUCCACAAAGGCAAACUGAUUUGCCAUUUUUACUUGCUGUGGAGGAUGUUUUUUCUAUUACCGGUCGUGGGACAGUAGCUACUGGGAGGGUUGAGAGAGGUACAAUCAGAACUGGGGAUACCGUAGAUAUUGUGGGGUUAAGGGAGACUAGGAAUACAACAGUUACUGGUGUGGAAAUGUUUCAAAAGAUAUUGGAUGAAGCAUUGGCAGGUGAUAAUGUUGGGUUGUUGUUGAGAGGUGUUCAAAAGGCUGAUAUUCAGAGAGGGAUGGUUUUAUCGAAGCCAGGGUCAAUUACUCCACAUACUAAAUUUGAGGCGAUUGUUUAUGUUUUGAAGAAGGAAGAAGGUGGCAGGCAUUCUCCCUUCUUUGCUGGGUAUAGGCCUCAAUUUUAUAUGAGGACCACUGAUGUUACAGGGAGGGUGGCUACGAUUAUGAAUGAUAAGGAUGAGGAGUCAAAGAUGGUUAUGCCUGGGGAUCGUGUGAAGAUGAUAGUGGAACUUAUUAUGCCCGUGGCUUGUGAGCAAGGCAUGAGGUUUGCUAUCAGAGAAGGAGGGAAGACUGUUGGAGCUGGUGUUAUUCAGGCCAUUAUUGAGUAGGUAACACACCAGAGGAAAUAUGCUUUAUUGGUACUUUUUGGAUGGAUGGCGGUGUCAAACUUCAUACCCUCAGCUUUGUGCAAUUAGUUUUUCUCCAUUUUAGCAAAACUUUCGAAUCCCAUGCCAUAUAUUUUGCAGUUUUGUUCUUUUGCACUUUGCCUUAAUGCUUAGUUUAGUUGGAUAUCAUUCUUGUGAAAAUUCAAUGUGAUAACGUAAUCCUUUCUUGCUUUGGCUUCUAACUUCUUGGUUUCUACAAAUUUGGAUUGCAUGAGAUGCUAAGGUAGCUGAUGUCAUCCUCCUGUUUUUUUUAGGUUUUUUUUUUUUUUUUUUUUUUAAAUAAAAUUAUACUCUCUGUUAAUGGUGCUGUUUCAUUUGCUUGGUUCAAUUAGUGUGGUGGUUUGGUGCAUAUUGUUUUUUGUUCUCGAGCUUUUAUGACAUCAUAAUUGUGAAUGCCAUUGUUGAUUAGACUUAUAUUACCUUGAUGCGCUUCUACUCAGUCUUUAAUCUGAUAGUGUGAUGGAUUGGGGAACCAUAUCAACUCGCUACUAUUUGUUCAUAGUGAAUACAUUUGUUCAAUGUGCUGCACUUGCCUUUUGGAUUCAGCUCGUCCACUGUCAUUAUAAUAAAGGUACUUGUGAGAUGAAAAUAUCUCUUCAGAGUAUAGUUUUGACUGAAAUAGUCUAUAACAAGAUUGCUUUUGUACUUGAGAAAAUAGGUUCUCUGGAAUGGGUAUUUUUUCUUUUACUGAGGGAGUGUAAAGUUUUUACUUGUAGUUUGUUUGGGAGGAUGAAAGACAAUAUGAAGACAAAACAUUUGGGGCAUUCAUAUCAUGCUUAUGUUUUUGCAAUGCAACGAUUAACUCCCAAGUUAGUUUACAUAGCAAGCAGCUAGCUUUUCUAGAGAUGGACAUAUGUUUUUGCACUUGUGUAUCCACAGAUUGUGGAGGAGCUCUAGGCUCUUGGCAUUGAAGUGUGGUUCCCUAGUUUCCAAUGAAUCCUUCUUGUCAGACUGGACCUUUAUAUUUUUAAACAAGCCUGUUUAUGCUGGCUAUACUCCACCAAUUUCAUGUAGAGUUGUCUCCCUCUCCCUCUCCCUCUUUAUCUCCUAAUAUAUAUAGACCCUAAUCUUCUGUUUCCCAGUGCCUAAACUCCAGACCACCCAUUUUGUUGGAGUGUGACUCAAACAUUAAACUAAAGGAUUUCUCUUGUGGUCUUGCUUGAUUGCUUAUUUUCAUAUUUUUUUUGCAGUCUUUUCUCCCAUCCGUUCUUCCCAAUGAGGGGAAAGUGAGCUUCAUUACAUUUUGUUGUUCUGUCCUAGAGAAAAAUCAAUUUUUAGAUUACAAAACACUUCCUGUUCACAUGUUUUUAUGGCCAUUGACCAGUCGGUUUGUAAGUAUAAGUCGGGAUGUAUUGUCUAUUAAGUUUUCUGCAGUAAAUAGAGUGACAAAUUUAGUGUAUUGUCUAUUAAGUUUUCUGCAGUAAAUAGAGUGACAAAUUUAGUGUCAAAGUAGUGUGUUAUUGUUUUUGUGCAUAAGAGAGGUGAGGGGGGCAGUACUAGUAGCUUGUAUGUGCCCAAUUGUCACUUUUUUGAAUUCUUAGUAUCACAUGAUGCAGAAGUUGCAAGCUUCUUAAUAGAUUGGAUCCCUCCACCUGUUUUAGUGUCAUUAUGGUGUGGGGAUUGGAUGUAUAAAUGGAAGGUUCAUAUUUGCAAUUUACAGAGACCUGUCUUCCAUCUCUUACAGCUAUCUUGUUUGAAAGACUUUUGGUUGGCAGAUGCUAUGAUGCCUCCCUUCUCCUAUUUUACUUGAAGCAGAUUGUUGAUCUUGUCAACAAGGUGGUGUAACAUUUGGAAGUAGCAAGCAUGUCUUUACUGUUUUGUUCUUUAUAAUUGUUUCCUGUAAUUUGGCGUUCUCUCCUCAACCCUGUUAUAGAAAUGCCAGUCCAGUUGUUUUCCUGGUGAAUUUUGUUCUUUCACUUGGAACAACAGAACUGACUGAACAGAUCCAUGAUCCUAGAGAGGACGGAUCCUGUUGUAGACAGUAGUGGUAUUACUGACUACUGUCAUCGAUUUGUUGAGUGCCUGUAGCAUUGUUAAAAUGCUUUAUUUCUUUUCCACUUUUAUUUCUCUGCUGAGCUAUUAGGUGCCUCAUCAUCUUGAAUUCUAGGUCUGUUUUCCAGUUAUCAGUCAUCUCAGUAGCUGUGUAGAUUGUUCUGGAAAUGGUUUCCAGUUUCCGGCAGUAAUGUACAGGACAGCCUGCUUUGGAAAAUGGUUACCGAGGGUCCAAGGGUUAUAUAGAAAGGGAGCUAUUUAUUAGCAGGCAUUUGCGCUUCGCUCUUAGCAGGGCCAUCUAUUGUGGGCUAAUCUCUAUAGUUUCGAUUAUACAGGGUUUGAUUGAUCUCUAGGCUCUCUCCUUGUCCAAAUAAGUAAUAUGCUUGAGAUUUUGUUUUCUGCAAGAGAAUGGCUAGUUCAAGCUGGACAUGCAUAUCAAAGCUUUUAAGGAUAUUUCUUUUUUCCUUGUUGGGUUACGAUAAAAUAAGUAGAAGAAAAUUGCUAUUAAAAGUUCUCACCAAAGAAUAAAAGUACAAAAUUUGAGCACUUCAUUCUUCUGCCGUUUUGAACGAUAUUAAUGAUGACAACAACGUUCCGCUAACCCAACAACUAAGCGAACAUACAGACAGGUGCCAACUGGCUACAGAUGUGUGUUUGUGUGUGUGUGUGUCCAGACUUUGCCUUGCCUGUUUCUCCCUCCUUGAUUAUUGCCUUCCAGUUCGUAGAAAACGACUGCCUCUUAAUUUGGUUUUCCUUUUCCUUUUCCUUCUUUAUUUCCCUUUCCUUUGUAUAAAACUUAGGAUAAAUGGUGACCAAAAUCCCUGAAUUAGUGGUCAUAGUCACAAAACAAACUAAUAAUCUCACAGCAAUUAGUUUCUAAAUAAAAUUUGAGAAUUAAAUAGAUCCUUGUGCCAAUUCAUCCACUUCUUAACUAAUAAUACAAUCACAAGACUAGCACAUGUUUAUUCACUCAAAUUGAACGGAAAUCUAGUUUUUCUUAAUUAAUAGAAGGAAAUUGGACAAGUUUUAUCCAAAAACUCACAAAUCAAUACGAUAAAAAUAAAAAGGGAUUUCCUCUGCUUCCCUGCAUUCGCCAAUAAAAUGUGGCUUUGCUAGGUAAGCAGGCGUGACAACUUUGUAGUGGUGGAGAGAAACCGUGGGUCAGCAUCCUGAGGCAUAAAUACUCGGGGGUCUCUCAUACCUGUUCCAAAGAUCAGCUCCCUGCACUGAUGCCUCAAAUAUGUGGGAAUGCUAUAUUUAAAGCCUUCAUUCACCUACGUGAUGGCUUCUCGUACAAGGUUGGAAAUGGGGAGUUUUCCUUUUGGUUUGAUAUGUGGCUAGAUGUGGGUUCGGUUGGUUCACAGGUUGAUGUUGUUCACAUCAGUGACUCCGAGUUGAAAGUACAAGACUUGUGGCAAAAUAGCUACCGGAACUUUAUAAACCUGAUGACAAUGCUUCCAGAAUGUGUCAAACACCUUUCUACGCUAUGAACGUCACAUUUCUAAUACUCCCAUCCGUGGCUGCUGCAACCAGUGUUUUGCAUUGCCUGCGGGAUUGUCACUUUGCUAGAAUCAUACGGACAAAUAUGGGACUAGUAAUUAGUAAAUGCUCAUGGGUUUUGGAACAUAAAUGUUGUGGAAUGGUUUAGAUAGAUGGUUUCUUCUAAUGAUUCGUUCCUUUUUCUUUUGGGUAUUUGGUGGAUCUAGAGGCGUAGAAACACCAUUGCUUAUUAUGAGGAGAAUUAUGUAGGUGAUAAUUGGCUCAUGAGGCAAAUUCAUCUUUUUAAUAAGGAUCUUCGUGCAAUGCUUGGGUCAAGCAAGCUGUCAAUCUUAGAAAAGAGCUCACUAUCUCAUGGUGCAGGCCUGAUGAAGGGAAGAUUAAUUUUGGAGACCUCAUUACGGAUAAUGAAGGGAAGUGGCCUGUGGGUUUUUCGGGCUCUGGAGGAAUUGACACUAACCUGCUUCCAUAGCUUCUGGCUAUUAAACAUGGGUUAGUUCUAGCUUGGAACCAAGGCUAUAUGAAGAUCAUCUGCAAUUUAGACUCCAUAAAUGUCUUGAGACUAAUUCAUGAAGGAAAUUUGUAUAUAAAAAAAAUCCACCUCUAGAAUUAAGUGUUCUUUUUGUAGUUUGGAUGGGCACUAAAUAUCAUAGAGGAGAUUAAUUUUUGUUUCUUUUGUUUUCACCGUACCAUAAAAAAAAAAAAGGCUAAAUGUCGUAAAUAACAACAAAUGCCAAAGUUUCCGUUUCCAUUCCCACAUCGUCUUUCUUCAUUACAAAAAAUAGUUUCCAAAACUAAAAACAUCCUUCUGUUCGUUCGUAUAUAUAUAGAUAGAUUCUUCUGCUCACUCAUAUCUUUCGCUGGCUGUUCGUUUCCUUUCCUUUCCUUUUUGCCAUUUCCAUUUCCAUUUCCUUUUUUCCUUUCUUAUCUCUCCUCCUUGCUUUCUUCAGCAAAUAUAUCACAUCUCUCUCUCGCAAGUAUUUCUUCAUUAGCGAUUUCUCAAUAUAUAAAAGUUUAUUUUGUUUUUGGUCAUUGUUUUCAUAAUCACCCAUUGUCUUCUUAUAGAAACCAGUUUUCUUUCAUGCAAAAUACCUUUGUCUUGUAAUUUAUAGCUGUUCAAUACUGAGCCCAAAUAUUACACACCAUGUUAUUUGAACUCAGUAGUUGUCAAACUGGGUUUCCUUGAAACCACUGCUUAUGAUCAAUGAAGAGACUUUCCUAGAGAUCUAAGGUAAGGUUCUUUCUUUCUUCUCCUCAAGGCAAGAUCAGGAAUAUAUGCAGAUGGAGCCAAUGAAGUCAAAGAUUAGAGGGAUUUUUACUCAGGGGAAUAAGGAGGACUCUUUUGUUGGCAGAGGCACUAUGAAUAUUGUUGACGAAUGGGAAAUUAGGCCAGGAGGAAUGUUAGUUCAAAAGAGAACUACUGCUGAUUCCAAUCACAAUUCUGUUCCUGUUUCCACUAUUAAAGUUAGAGUCAAAUAUGGCUCUUCAUGUCAUGAGAUUAGUAUCAGUUCACAAGCAAGCUUUGGUAAUUUGAUAAUUCUUAAUUAAACCUCCAUGUCUUUGUUUAACUGAUGAUGCUUUGACUUCAAAUUCUUUGAAUGAUGGAGAUUAAAGGAGUUGGUUUUUGGGCUGCAGGGGAACUGAAGAAAAUGCUAGCACAACACACAGGAGUGCACCAUGAGGAUCAAAAGCUGAUAUACAAGAAGAAGGAGAGAAACUCCAAGGCGUAUUUAGAUACCGCAGGAGUCAAAGAUGGAUCCAAAAUUGUGUUAACUGAGGACAUUACCAGCCGCCAAAGGCGGUGUCUUGAGAUGCUUAAAACUGCUAAAAUAAAAAAGGGUUCAAAGUCAUUGCAACAGAUCACCGUGGAUGUUGACCGACUUGGCGAAAAGGCAAGUAAAUUUUACCUGAAAACAUACAUGGUUGCCUCUGGCAGAAAUCAGAUUUAAGUUUCUGAUAAGAGCAAAAUUGUUCUUAUUGCGAUUUGGUAGGUGACAUCCUUGGAAACAACUUCUAAAGGAGGAAAAAUUGCAGAGAAAGAUGUGGAUGAAUUGACUGCGAUGUUGAUGGAAAAAUUAGUAGCAUUGGAUGGAAUUUUUGUUGAGGGAGACUUGAAGUUGCAGAAGAGAAUGCAGGUAUUAUGCAACUUCUAAUUGGUCAACUAGCAUAUUUUCACUUCCAGUAAUGUUCAAGUUUUUGCCUUCCUUUGUCUUUCUUGAAGGAAAGGAGAGUUCAACAGUACAUUGAAACUCUUGAUAAGCUGAAGUUAAACUAUUCUACUGCUGAUAGCAAUGGAGGAAAAAUCCCAUUGCAGGAACAAGAUAAUUCAAUGGGUAAAAUGCCAAUACCAAAGCAAAGGCCAAUUCAAAGCGAAGGACGCAAAAUCCCAUUGCAGCCACAAGAUAAUUCAAUAGGCACAACGCCAAUAGCAAUGCAAAAGCAGUCAAUUCAAAGAAAUGGAGGCAAAAUCCCAUUACAGAAACUCGAAAAUUCAACUGGGAAAAUGCCAAUACCAAGGCAGAAAGAGUCAGUUCAAUCCAAGCAGCAGAAUGCUACAAUGCAAAUGCCAACACAGCAGCAGCGACCAAUAUUGAGGCAUUCUGAGUCUUUUGUGGUGACAACAACAUGGGAAACUUUUGAUUAAGCUGCGGAGCUAAUGUUUCUGCGAGUUCUAAGCUGAAUUGGGAACAGUUAAAAGAAAAAAACGGUUAGCGAUGCGUGGCUCUCCAUCCUUAGAUGUUGUCAGUCUCUCUGGUUCCUUUACUCAUUCUUGCUGUUUUAGGUUUAUGAUCUGUUUUUUUUUUUUAAAUAAACUAAAUUGGCUCUUUGCAAAUUGUAUAUAACAUAUAGCAAAAUAUGGUGCAUAGCAAAGGAAGGAUUGUUUUUUAUGCACUACAACAUGUUAUAAGAGUAGUUAGAAGGGCAAGUAGAAUUAUAUUUUCAUGUAUUUGUUGCAGAAACUGGUUGCUGUUGACUCAAUCCAGGGACCACAGACCAACCAAUCUCGUGUUCAUACUCCAUAGCCUAUACUCGUUGGUAAUUAACAGAGAAAGAAAUAAUCCUUGUGUCUUGGGACCAUUGCCCCAAUCAAUCCCUCUUUAUCCAGUCAUUUAUUGCCUCUAGCAUCUUAUAAAUAUACGGUACUGGUCGGUGGAGAAGUAGAUUAUUUCCGAUCUGGAUCGUAAAAUUCUUUGUUUCUACAUGCGGGGAGGGGGGGGGGGGGGGAAGAGACUAGGGGGAUAAUCUUUUUGUAAUAACAAGGUUAAACUAAUCAUUCCAAAAUGAUAGAAAGGUAGACUUGACUUCGGAAGGCAGGAUAUAUGGUAGAGUAUUGGAAACAGGUAGAGUGGUUUAAUCAUUUCGAAGCCACCAUGUUCAAGUGUUUAAUAUAAAAUUUUAAUAACCCAUAUUAAGUUACUCCUGAAAAAAUCUCCAUCACAGCCGUCCUCUCUCUUGCUGAGAUAAAUAAAUAAAUAAAUAAAUAAUACACACACACACAUACAUAUAGGUUUAGGAAACUAUUGGCUUGACAUGAUGGGAAUACCAGAGAAUUCAAAGACAUUCAUGUGCAUUUAUUUUUACAGCCUCUUCCAAUAAGAGUAGGGUUUACUGAAGUUUGGUGAGGUGACAUCAUGUCAAAUGUUACUCGUCAGAGAAAAAUCAAUUUUCAUGCUCAGUGAUUAUGAAGACUUUUAGUAAAUAGUUCAACCAUAAUUGUACUUCUAAUGCCAGCCAGUUGUUAAUAAUGGUGUAUUAGUUUUUUUAAAAUUUUUUGAAAAUUUUGAUUUUUUUUAAAUUAAUUAUUUUUGAGUGAUUUAAUAUUGUUUUAAUGUGUUUAUGUAAAUUAAAUUUUAAAAAAAAUAUUUUUUUAAUAUAUUUUUUUUAAAAAAAUACUUUAAAAAACAAUUAUUAUUAAUUAUAUUCCUGUACCGGAAUGGAUGUUAGAAAAGGUGACAAAAGGGCUGUCUAUUUUGUUAUAUUUUUAUUUUCCCAGAAGUUUUUGUUAUUAAACAUGUAAUCAUGCUUAUAGUUAAGCAAAUAAGGGAUGAAAAAAAGAAGGAAAGGAAAAAGAAAAGAGGCUCCAUGGUCACUUGAGUGGAUUGCAAAACAUCCAUGAAGAACUGAAGGAGUCAGAUCGAGAGAAUACGAGGGAUGAUAAUUGCAAAUACUAGGGAUUUCUUUUCAUGUGAUGCCUAAAGAGUAUUUGCCGACUCAAGGUUCUCUCAAACACGUCUGAAUACUCCCAGUUAAUUAGCUUUGGAGUAAAGAAAAAAGAAGGGGCCAUGCUUAUUCCGUCUUUUCUUUGUUCUUCCUUUCAUUUUCCUUGCGGACAAAUCCAUCUGAUGCCAUCGGAAUUCUCUUCUGUAUGAUGGGGCGUGCUUACAUUUCCCAACUUUAUUUCAUGCCAAGAGGGGAAAGCAAAUACUUUGCUUUUUCACAAGUCUUGCCGUGACUGACCCUUGGGAAAUGGGCCUGUUGUGAACUGGAAAGGAGGAUGCUAGAUGGUACCCCAAGAAAGAAAGUCGCAAAUUUCCUUCCUCGACAAACACUGAUAUUAAAUCUAGAUGUUGAUAUGUUAGACUUAUUUAGCAGUCGGUAGUCACAAGCUCAGAUCUAAGAAUCGGAUUGGAGACUGGAGAGGAGGCCAAUGCCGAUUAUUUUUGUCUAUACCAAGUGUGGGCAUAGGCAAUUCUGGUCCACAACUUGUAUUUGGUGAUUAUGUUAUUGCUUUCUUGAGUUCUCCAUGGCAUUAUCAAUUCAUUUUAUCUUAUACUUUAUAACAUUUUCCCUCUCUCCUUUCUUUAAUUGGCAAUGGCAAGAUUUUCCAAAGUGAAAAUUCUAUGCCUCACUUUUCUUUUCCUUUUUCCCUUUUCUUUUCCAAACCCUCCUCAGCCUAUUGUCUUCCUUGCAAGUACAAUAAAUGGUUUAGUAAGAUUAGAUGGUGCAUUAUAGAUUAGUUUAUUGAUAUUAACAGGAGGAGAAAUGUUCUUCCAGAUUGAGUCUUGGUACAUGAGGUUUUCCAAAUCUUGUUUACAUGGAUUUUCAUAUUUUUAAUGUCAUUCCAAUUGAAGACAGUGAGAGUGAAGCUCUAAUGAGGCAUGUUGCAAACUAUCAAGUAAAAUAUUGCAAACUAUCAAGUAAAAUACUAAACAUUAUUGUGAGUUUUUCAUUAUAGUUAUUUAUAAUAAAAUAACAUUUUACCUUUUAUUUUUUAAUUUUUAAAGCUUUAUUUGAGGGAUAAAAUGUUCUUUAUAUGCGAUUAAUUUGUUAUUUUUAUUUUUUUAGGAGCAAUACCGUCUACUAUUACCAUAUUGCUUCUAGAGAAUAAACAAUUAGAAUAUUUAUUUUUAUUUCAUUGUUUCUGAUAAAAAUUUUCUAUCAUAUUUUUUGCUGGUACAUAACAAUUCCGUCGGUUUUCUCUUUUUUUUUCAUUUCAUUUUUUCUAGUAGUGAGAUUUAUAGAACGUUCUCUUCUCUUAAUUUUAUACGAUGCUUAAUUCCUCUGAUACGAUCAUGCAAAUAAAAAAGAGCUUCACAUGAUCAUGAUAACAACAUCUGCGUACCUCCAAUGAACAACUUACAUCAUAUGGGACCAAGCAGACAUGCAAAAAGGGUAGCCAUUAUCAAGCUUUAUGGUUAAUAAGACAUAGCAUAAAUGGGAGCUUUUAUUACAAGUUGGACUCGCAUGGACGCAGAAACAAUUUUGAUGAUGCUUACACGAGAACAAAUCGUCUUUUUGUUAGUGAAAGCACAUGGUAGGCGCAACUUACAUGAAGAUGAUAAAUCUAAUUCUACAACCAACCAUUUCUUCUCAAUGAUGAUCGAUUCAUUCUGUCAGUGUAUAUUUCCACAGCCCGUGAGAAAAACUAUAAUCGAAAUUAGGAAUUCAAAGGGACAUUUCCUCACCAACCAUUAGAGUAUGGCCCGUCUUGAUGACUCCUCUUAGACUUGCUUUGGAUGUCGCACUGGCUACGGCUUAUCAUAUUAAGUUGGCCCUUUGAAAUCUGGAUAUGGGCCUGUGGAACAGGUUAUGACUUGUGAAAUUAAGAACCCCAUAACCUCUCGAGUUGCCUCCCAACCCAAGCCUGAAGUGAAAGACCUUCUCUUCUUUUCUCUUUGAAAAAGAAAAAGAAAACAACAAGGCUCAAACCCUUUCAUGCUCAUGGUUUUCGUACAAAUUAAAUCUUGUCACUUAAUGUUUCUUUCGUGGGAGCCGUUAAAUUUCCUGCUGAGAUCGAUUAAAGCGAUGAUCAGUUCAUGGUAUAUGUUCUGUUUUGAUUAUCUUUGCUAUGCAUGUGCAAAGUCCACAUUGACUAUGUGCCACUCCAAUAUUUUGUUCAGAAAUUGAACUCUAACCACAAAUAUGUUAAUCUGUACGGAUCCGAAAUUGAUUAAUAUACAAAUGGGUUAGUCAUUUAAAUAAUUGAUGGAGUGUUUACGAGCAUGAUAGUGUUUUUUUUUUCAAAGUAUGAUGAACAUGUAAAUGGGUCAGUUAUCUAAACAUCUAUCUAGAUAGCUAGUGAUUGUUGUAUAUGUCUGGCUAUAAGAAUAUUACUUGCAUGUUGAAGAUUUUAGACACUAUGUACAAGCAAAUAAUAGAUGCAUGAUUAAAUGAAUAAACAAGAAGAUAUUACAAGAAAUCAUAACUCCACUAUUUGAUCAUGGCUGCAUUGUCAAUAAGAAUCAUUGUUACAUGGGAUUACCAAUCAUGAUUUCAUAAACAAUUGAAGGCCAAAUCCUCGUCACAUCCCUCGACUUCCUUCCUUCUAUACCUAGCGCUGGUCACCUAGGAUAAACAAACAACAAUAUAUUACACACAUGGCCCAUAAGCAUGCAGUGGUCAGACACUCUGGUCGAGUUGACUUUAAUGUGGGAGAGUGAUGGGGUUACACAAUAGGUGAUCAUGUCAUGUGGCUUGCUAGGACGGCCGAACAUCCCUCAUGUCUGACAUCCAAGUGUUACAGGCAGGGGCGCAUGAUCCAUCCAUUUGGUAUUAUAUAUAUGCGUGCACAUAAACAAUCCUACGUACAGAUUUGGCAUAUUGUUAGGCAGAUCGUAUCUCUCUUUCAUCUUACGAUCUCUUCGUUUGAGUAUCUCCUUGGGUUUGAAGGAGAUGUGUAUAUCUUAGAGGGACAUUAUCCAAGGAUCCUAGGAGUCCAUUGCCUUCCAUGAUUUCUGAGGCCAAAGAAAACCUAUUGAGCGGGCUAGCUCAUGUCGUUGUUUUGUUUCAAACCACUAUUAAGGAUCCCAUCCUCGUCGGGUUCGCAAUUUUGCAUGCCUAUGAAUUUUGUUUAAAAUUUCAACAUUAUUUUUAUUAUUGGAUUGAUCGUUCUUUCAUUCAUUCAUUUCUGCAAUACAUAUGCAAUGGCAGUGAGAUUACUUAAAACUACGUGUAUUAUUAAUGUCUAUAUAUAUAUAUAGUCAAAACUAAUCCCAAAAAACAAAAGAACAGUCACAAUUUAUAUAACUCUAUAAUGGGCUUGAUUUAUUCCCUUGUAUAAUACAGGGAAAAAAAAUAAUCUCUGAUCUAAUUAUUCCCCUAAUGAGAUUGGAUUUGGGUUAGUUAACCUUUCAUAUGAUACCACAUUGUUUGCGAACUCCUUGGAAUAUUUUAGUUAAAUCGACCCAUUAAAAUGGUGCAAAGGUAAUUAGUUUUCCUUCAUAUAUUGAGUUGGAGCACUAGCUAGGGGCUUGACGCACUUGAGGUCUAGCUGCUGUGGUCAAUCGUGUGACUUGUUCCGCUCCCGUCCCGGGUUUGACCCUCUAUGUGCACGCCUGUCACCCCCGCGGUGCCUUACCUGCUCCUGGGCUUGCAGGAUGUCCAGUGGGUCGUGGGGAAUAGUCGUGGUGCGCGUAAGCUGGCCCGGACACCCCACGUAAAUAAAAAAAAAAGAAGAAAAGACAUCACAAUUAAUUAUUUUUUAGCAAUAUCAAUUUAACAUCAAAUCAUGUGAUUUGCAUGUAAUAUUUAAAAGGAGAAACAACACCACAAGGAGAUUUAGAUUUCUUUUGUUAUUAUAAUGUCAGCGUCUCUCAGCGUACAAAAACACUAAUCAGUUUUUUAAAUUUUGAUUCAUAUAUUGUUUUUUUUAUCUAAUUGAAAUAAAACUAGUUUAUCCAUUAUUUUUGGUGCGUCGUUGCACGUGCUGGUAAUGGGUAGAGGUGCAUCGAUUACCAUGCUAGGUGCACAACUCGUUCCUCUUCCUUCAUGUAUGGGUAAUGUCAUCCACCGUUGAUUGUGAAGGGAGAUUGAAGCCAUCUAAGUUUUGGUUUAUUCUUAAUGGAGUACAGGUGGCAAAUAUUUACGAGAAGCAGGAACUCCUUAAUUUCUUAAUUAAUAAUCCUUUUCAUAAGGCAUGAAGAACGUUUUCGUGCAGUGGAUGGAUGAGGAUAGACUAGGAUUGUUAUAUAAACCGGUCCCAUUCUGGAAUUCAAGGGCUUGGCUUUUGUACUGUCCUUUAAUGAGCCAUAUCAGAGCCUGUUGUGGGAAAAUGUCUUUGAAAAAACUUAGAAAAAAAUAUUAUUUUAAUGCUCAAAUAAGAAAAUCUAAUAUAAAUUGAAGGCAGAUUAACAUUAAUGCAAUUCUUGCAUAGAAAAGUACUAAAAAUGAAAAUUAUGGUCCAGAAUUAAUAAAACAAAUAAAAUGCCCUACAAAGUCUAGAAAAAAAACAGGAAAUAAACUUUAACAUAAAAAAACUCGCCACAACCCAGAAGUACGAACCAAAAACAAAAAUGAUAUUGAUCUGCAUAAGAAACUAAGCAGAUGCAAUAUCUUUGGGCUUGCUCGUUUCAAACUUAGCAUCAUCUUCAUCAAAAUACUUGCUCCAAUGAGGAUGAUUCCGCCACACAAUGGUCAUUUCUUCAAUUGGGACUCCUUUGGUCUCAGGUAGCAGUUUGUAUAUGAAGAUACUCAUGAUCACCACACAAACUGCAAAGCAAAUGAACAAACCGAACUUCAAGUGACAAAGCAUUGCCGUGAAGAUUUGUGCAAUGACAAAGGUGAAGAUCAUGUUUACAGCAACAUUGAUACUCUGAGCAGCUGAACGGACUUCUAAUGGGAAGAUUUCACUAGGCACUAGCCAACCUAGAGGUCCCCAAGACCAAGCAAAGCCCGCAACAUAAACACAUAUGAAGGCUACCACGGCACCAGCGUAGGUACCGGAAAUCACACCUGGGUUCCCGCUCACUCCAAACUUCAUAGCAAUGGCAAUUGUUAUCACAACCUACAAAAAGAAAGAAAAGGACAGGAAAAAAUAGCAGACAUUGUAAGUCACAUGAACAUAAUGUAAAAGCAAAGAAUUGUGUAAAGAUCAAUGAAAACUAGUGUAUAUGCGUUGUUGAAAAAAAGAUGAGAGCUAGUGACCAACCUGGCAAAUGAGCAUUUGGGUACCACCCAUGAGGAAAAGCUUUCUCCUCCCCAACUUAUCCACCGUAAAAAUCGAAACAAAAGUUGCAACCAUAUUAACGAAACCAGUAAUCAGAGAAGAUAAAAGAGAAGCAUUGCUCCCAAAACCAAUGGUUUUGAACAAAACAGGAGCAUAAAACACGAUGACGUUCAUGCCGGUGAGCUGUUGAAACAUGGGAAUGCAGAAUGCAAACACAAGCUGAGGCCUAUAUUUCCUCUUAAAUAUGUUUAACCAAGCAUGUUUCACCAAUUUUGCUUUCUCACUGGCCUCGACAAGAUCAUUGAACUCCUCAUCGACAUUAUCAACAUCGCGGAGUUUAAGAAGUAGAUCUUUAGCUCUUUCAUAAUUGCCUCGCUCUAUCUCGGAAUUCGGCGUAUCAGGAAGAAAGCAUGAUCCUAAAAGAAUUAUUAGACCAGGAACUAUAGCGCCACCCAAACUCAAGCGCCAUGCCAUAUCUCCUCCAAUCAACCUCGCAAAGGCAUAGUUCAAAGAAUUGGCAAUGAGAAUACCAAUUGUAAUAAACAAUUGGAACAUCAUGUUGAGAGCACCUCGAUACUUAUAGGGAGCCACUUCAGAGAGAUAAAUUGGAACUGACUGUAAUACAAGGAGAAAAAUUAAGAAAGAAAAAUUAACAAAGAAAGAACAGAAAAGAAAACUCAAGGCAUAUGUACACAUUAAAUAAACACAAGAUUUAAAAAUUCUUUAAUUUCUUUUCCAGAAUUCGGUCAGUUUAAGAACUGCCAGAAUCACAAAACAAAAGUUCUAUCGUGAAUAAGGACAUUGACAAUUUAGGAAAAAAAGAAGAAGAAGAAUAUAUUUCCUUACAAUCAAACUCUAAAGGAAAACAUUGUAUACAUAUAUAUAAGCGGUUAGAUUCAAUCUAGCAUUGAGAGUAAAAUACCAUUUAGUGAGUGUUUUUCAUGAAAAAGAUAAUUGUAAAUAUAAUAGCAAAAAAAGAAGAUUGAUUCUUGAAGAGAACAGUGUACCUGAUUGGCACAUCCAAUGCCAAAACCAAGUAAUAACCGACCAACAAUAAGCAUGACGACAUUCUUGGCUAAGCCAUUAACGAUAGCACCAGCUGCAAAAAGUAAGCCACUGGUCAUCAUCGUAGGUCUCCGUCCAUACGUCCUAGUCGCCAUAGAUGCUCCUAUGGACGAAACAAGGGCGGCCAGGUAUAGAGACGAAGUAAACAACGUCAAUAUCUGGCUAUCAAACUUGCAGUAUUGAUCAUCUGACGGCUUGACUGAGGAUUCCUUCUGGUAAACAUCAGGAAAGAAGUCCUUCAAGAAAACAUCCAUAGAUGUUACACCACCUGUAAAAAGAAAUAUAUUAUUCAGGUUUGCUGUCACCUUAAACGAUGUAAACAUAAACUACACUAGUACGAAAUUAAGUACAUAUUUCACAGAUUCUCAAAAACAAGUGAUACGAUUAUUACAUCUUCAAAAAGAAACUAAUUAAUUAUACAUUAUUACGUACCUGAAAUACCAAGAUCAUAACCAAAAAUCAGACCUCCUGUUGCUGCAAAAAGGCACGUGAAGAACACCCUGAAAGUAAACUUUCCAGGGUAUUCCUUUCCACCAGAUGUUGGAGCGAAAGCCCCUCCAGCCAUCUCUUUCUUUCUUUCUCUUUGUUUCUUUUGUGUAUGAUUGGUGAGAUUCGUAAGCCAAUCAAUGGGAAGAGGGAGUAUUGGAGUGCUAUAUGAAAUUAUAUUUAUAGAGGAUAUAUAUUUAUAUAUAUAGUGAGCUGAUUUAACUGUAUCUCUACCACUCGCAAAUCCAAACGGAAAUAUUGUACUUGAUUUAUCCAAGAUUUAAAUGAUAACAUUAUCUGUAUCUCUAAAAUAUCUCAACAAAUUUAUACAUAUUUCUAUCCAGCGUGCAUGUAGAGUUGUUAUUGAAAUCAACUUGAUGUGAGAAUUGUAAGUUAGAAUUUGAUUAGGGUGGAAAUCCAGUUCAAAAGAUAGAAUUUCAACCGAGUCUUUCUCCAAUAUUUUAACAUCUUCGCGCGAGAAAUACUACUACUGUGAAUCACGUAUUAGCUGGAUCGUUGAUUUAUCUUAUCACUAUAUGUAUUAAUUAAAUUAUUUAUCUUAUGUAAGAAAAUCUUAUCAUUAAUAUUAUCCAGCACGCAACAUUUUUUUUUUUUUAAAUCUUGACGGACAUAGAAGUUCGAUGCUUGCUUGCUGCUUGGCUUCUUAGUUUUGGAACAGCUCUGCUAAUUUUGCUUCUCGAAACCCUAUCGGAAAUACGAUUCAUAAAACUUUAGGGACACGACAUAAGAAUAUAAUGGAAAGGAGAGUAAGGUUAACAAGUGAGAACUGAGAGGAGGCCCGCCCAUUGAGGCGGUGCUCCGUUAUACUAUUCCCAUUAUUUUUUAAUAAUUAAUUACCAAGUCUUUCCUUUAUUAAUAAUCUCUCAAUCAAUUUUAUCUUCAUUAUAUUUGAGGUCAUUGCAAACAUAGAGACGAAUGCUUAUAUGUUUUUUUUUCUUCUAAAUUCCGUACUUCCUUCCAAGUGUAGUAUUCAACAAUACAUCCAUGUACGUAUGAUUUGAUUCGAUCAUGAUAGUCUUUUUAUUUGUAAAUAAAUAAGUCUUUUUAGAAUGAUAAUAUUUUUUUGUGAUAAAGUUGUAUAAAUAUUAUAAUAAUUGAUAUAAUAACAUUUAUUUGUAGUAUUUUUAUUGUAUACGGGAAUGUAUCGAAUUUGAUUCCCAUUAAAUCAAGAUGAUUAUUUUAAAUUUUAUUUCAUACAAUAACGAAUGCUAAAGUUUAUUCAAAAACAUAUUAACAAUAUGAAUUAUUUUUUAAUUAGCUUAAGAUGCAUUGGAUAAUAAAACUAUCCAAUCUACACUCACCUAUUCACCAAUUAAUAUUUGUUUGCUAUUUAUCAAUUGAAAUGAAUUAGAAAAGCAAAUAAAAAACAAAAUAAUUUUGCAAUAUACAUAUAUAUAUUCUAGAUGCAUAUUCGAUUUAAUUUUUUUUUAUAUGCAUAUAUAUAUAUAGAAAUUAGAAGAGUAUAUAAAUUUUUUUCUUUUAUUUAAAUAUCACAAGCGAGAUUCAAAGAUAGGAUUAGUUUGGUAUAAAAAGAGCACAUCAACUCGUAAUAAAAGAGGAGAUCACUUGCUCCUUGAAUAAUGUUUUUCACAAAAUUCAAUCUGAUAUAUUAAAUUAAGAAGUAUGAUAUAUAUAUAUAUAUAUAUAUAUAUAUAUAUAUAUAUCGACUUUCAAUUGCUUUAAAUACAUAUUAUAAGAAGUUUUGAUUCAAUUUAUAAUUGUUUUUCACUUUUACCUCUAUUUCUUUUCUAAAGCAUGCCUAGAGAGUCCCAGGCAAAUUGACUAUAUUUUUUGUUGGAUAAAAAAUACGAAGAACGACAAAUUAAAUGAUACAGUAAAAAAAGAAGCCGUGUAUGGCAUUGAAUAUGCGAGUGAUAAAAUAUUAUAUAAAUAAGAAAUAUAUUUUAAUUUUUUGUUCCUCUCUCCUUUCUUAAUUUGAUAUUUCAAUUUCUUAAGAAUAUAUGUGACUUCAUCUCGAACACCUUUAUGAAAUGCAUAGGCAUACUUGGGUUCAAGUGCCUUUUAUUUCAAUAAAUCUUAUUGUCUUUCUGUUUUCUUAAUUAUUUCAGGAGAUGUAUUUUUAAGUUCUAUCACCAAGUAUAUUUUUUUAUUUAUUUUUGUUUUGUUGGAUAAUUGUUCUUUCCUUGGUAAGUUAACUUUUUGACACCCUAUUGAAAUUUCAAAUAGUGUCAAUUUCUUGCUUCAUUUUCAUAAUUUUUUUCUAAUAGGUAUUAGCUUUAUAUAUAUAUAUAUAUAUAUAUAUAUCAUUUGCUGUUGUCAAUUUUUUUAAAAUUACGCCCACGAAUCAACCUAUUGGACUUUCUGCUCCUUUUCUUUUUGGUUAUAAAUCAUUAACAUUAAUCAAGAUUUAAUAAAAUAUAAACCAACUUGUCUAAUAAGAUCAAUAAUCAAAAGAUAUUUAGAUUGAAAACGGUGGAAUCGCGGAGAAAAAAAGGACCCACAAAAAAAGUCUGGGCCGGCUAGCAGUUCCUUGACAUGCGAAGCUACCAAAACGUUUUACAUUUUAAGAUUUUUAAUUUGGUUCUCGAAGUAACAUGAGUGGAACUCGUUACUCUAAAAAUGAAUAUAUAUAACCUUUUUUUUCUUACAAAUAUGGAUUGCGUUUGUAUCGAUGCUAUUUAAAAAAUUUUUCUUACAAAUAUGGAUUGCGUUUGUAUCGAUGCUAUUUAAAAAAUAAAAAAAAAUAAAAACCAUAUGUUUUGGAUACAUCGAAAUGUUCUCGAGAACCUCAAAUCUGAAAUGGAAGAUGGAAGCUCUGUGUUGACCUUCCAUUAUGAUUAAAGCUACUGUUCAAGAGGCAAAGGGGAAAAUGAUUAAGGAUUCUUUGAACGGAAGUGACCCAAAACUACAAAAACAUGUGUGACAGAGAAGGUACUGGUGGGCUGAUGACCAUGCAUGAAAUGUUGGAGCUCCUUGGUGGCCAGAUAUUGUCCAGAGGAAUAAUAUAUCGGCCGCCUAACCAAUCAAGUUUGAUUGGAAAGCCCACCAUGUAGUAAGAAAAACAUCCUUACAUUGGUUGGUGGUUGUACACGUUUUAGUUGGAAUAAAAAACAUGAAAACAAAGAGUUCCCAAAGGAAUCAAGAUACACUAAGAAUCAUUUCUAAUGUGACAUAAUGAGAAAACGCGGUCUGCAACCUUCCUUUUAUUAUUAUAUGUUGCAAAAAAAACAUUGAACGAGGCGCUAUUGUAUAAUGCUUCGAUCCAUUAGAAAGAGUUGUCGAUUAGUUCAUAAUAAUCUAAUUCAUUCAUAACUAUAGUAUGAUUAGAUGUUCGUAAGAUCAGGUUUUGUUAUAAAUUUUAUGUUUACUGAGAAUGGAGAUCACAAAGUGUCAAUUGACAUAAGAUUUUUCUAUUGGUGAAAUGUCCGUCAAUAAAUCUAUCGGUAUAUUUAUUAUAAACAAACUCAUUGAUAUUAAUAAUCUAGUUAUACUAUCAGAUGCACCAGUUUUACCAAUAAAAAUUUAUGUUGGUAUUUACACUCAUAGUCCGUUGAUACAUAUAUUAAUGACAGGUUCACGGACAGAAACAGUCUAUUGAAAAAACUCUCGUCGGUAAUUAAUGGUCUGUUAAUGAGUUCGUUGAUAAUAAAUAUACCGAUAGAUUUACUGACGGACAAAGUGUGCAAAAACAAUUUACCCGCUUCAUUCUAUUAGUAUAUCUCCAUCGGUAAAUUUAACAUUUCACCAACAGGAAAAUCAUAUGUAAUGUCAUCAAUGUUUUAUUUGUUAUUCGGUGUAUCCAUCAGUAAAUAUAACACUAACAAAAGAUCUUUUGUAAUUAUGUUGGUGAGUUAACAGUAACAGUGGUAUUUACAGUCUUUCUUUUCCGACUCUCUCUUGAAUAUAACGACGAAGUUAUUUCAAUGGUAACCCUAUAUAUAUAUAUAUAUAUAUAUAUAUAUAUAUAUAUAUAUAUAUAUAUAUAUAUAUAUAUAUAUAUCGAAUAGAAGUAGAAAAAUAAUUAAUAUAAAUUAAAAUAAUAUAAAAUCAAAUAUUUACUACAAAUUUAAAAAAAUUUAUGUUCAAAUACGAUAAAUCUAAAAUAAAUGCGGCACGGGAGGAGAAGGAGGCUAGUCGUCACCGGGACAAUGAGGUCAAUUAGGGGCUAUACAUGUACCACUCAUCAGUAAUCUCUUCUUCAUUACCAAUCAGCAGAGUUCUUUAUAAUCAGCAGUGAAUCGUUCACAUUUUUCAUUAAGAUAGGUUGUCUGAGCCUCUACUCAUUAGUCUAACAUCACCGCGAACACCGAAAUUUGAGUGCUCGAAAUCGAUUGCGAGCAUCCAACAACGUGUCAUGAUCAAUUCAUGGAUUAGAAUUAUAAUACAUAAAUUGAAUACAUUCUAGAGCUUAAUUUCUAAAAUUAUUUUCAAUCAAGUCACAUUUGAUUAAUUAUCCCAAUUUAAUUUAUGACUAAUGGUUCUUAAUGUGUGUGACCAAUUAAGUUCCCAAUAUGUUGGCUUAAAUAUAAAUUAUAAUUCUAAAAAAAUAGAAUUAAAUAAAUCAAAUAAUUUAAUUUAUUAUCAAUUCAAUAAUUGAUUAAUUUAUAUUUAAAGAUCAAGCUCACCGUCUAAUAACGUAUCAUGAACCUCAAAAUAUUAAAAAAAUCAUAAGUGGUUUGACUUAAUCUUUCAAUGAUCGGCUUCUCGGUGUAAUUAUUAUCCCUUCAUCAAUAAUAUUUUAAUUUAGAUAUUUUAAAAUGAAAUUUAUUUAUCAUAUUAAAUUAUUUUUAUUCAAGACAUUAUAAUCAUUAAUCAUUUAAAUAAAAUUAAAAACACUUUUCAAAUACCGUUUCACCACUUAACUCCCGGUCCUCGGAUUCAUAAAACCAGUAAAGAAGAUAUUGAGAGAAAACGUUGACGGUUUUGGCACCACUAUGAGAGAGGAGCAGAGACCAGCUAAGUGCUAGCUAGCCGGCCGCAAUGCGUGUGCGCCGCCCAUUAUUUAUCAAAACUCUCCAUUUAGCAAAAGAAGUAGCAGACUACUAGCUAGUAGCCUCAGCUAAACUAUCACUUUCCACUUUAAUCUUUCUAAGACUAAAACCCUAGCUAUCAACAACCAGCAUUACACACUGAAGGACAACGAUUUUUAGUUGACCCCCCACGAAAUCCCCACGCAUUAACGUUUUUACAACUCAAAUCUACGCAAAAUCACACGUAUAUAUUCUUUCUUCCUUGUAGCAAGGACCCUAUCUACCCAUAACCUCUAAAUUCAUCUUCUUCUAGACCAUUUUCCUUCACAUAUAGAUAUAUUUAUAUAUCCUCUACCAAUAUUAAUGUGCCCCAAAUAAACCAUACCACCGUUAGCAUUACAUUUUGACCCUAAUUCUCCUAUACUAGUGAACCCACUUGACCCUAUAUUGUCACAAUCUAUCCCUACAAACACAUGUGAAAAUAUCCAUCUCCAAAAGAUCUUCCUCCUCAGCUAGCAUUCUAAACCCACCACCAUGGCCACGACUUCUUCUAACUCCAAAAGGCACCCAAUGUAUCAUGGAAUCCGGUGCCGCGGUGGUAAAUGGGUGUCUGAAAUCCGGGAGCCACGCAAAACCACUCGUAUAUGGCUUGGCACAUUCCCAAAGCCGGAGAUGGCGGCAGCAGCCUAUGAUGUUGCAGCCCUGGCCCUAAAAGGUAAUGGUGCAGUUCUUAACUUCCCAAGUUCUGUUGGGACUUAUCCAGUGCCUGCUACGGCAUCAUCCACUGAUAUUCGCAAUGCAGCAGCUGCUGCUGCUGCAUUAAAAAAGGCUGAACUGAGCUACAAUGAAGCGUUAGUUGAUCAACCAAGAAAUGACCAUAAUGCCAUCGGUGCGUAUUUGGCAUCAAGUGGAGAAGAAUUUGUUGAUGAGGAGGCACUGUUUGAUAUGCCAAAUUUGCUGGUGGACAUGGCAGGAGGAAUGCUGCUUUCGCCACCAAGAAUAACCUCGCCACCGUCUGAUGAUUCACAGGGAAAUUCUGAUGGAGAAAGUCUGUGGAGCUAUUUUUAAUAUUGCUCCUUACUAUUGAUCUUUACAACUUCAUGAAUGGAUUAACAGCAUAAAGAAAGGAACAAGAGGAUACGGAAGUCAUUACUGUGACCUUUUUUUUCUUUUUUGGACGAUUUUUCCUGUCCUGAAGUAAGAACUGAGCAAUAAGAAAAUGAUGGAGGUUAGGAUGUGAAACGAAAACAGGAUAAAAAUAAAUAAAUCAAAGAGUACGUAGUGAUCAGUUUUUGAGUUUGAGACAGAGAGCAGCAAGUUAGGGUUGCAUUUCUUUCCAUGUGAGUGCAUUGUACAAUAGUCUAGCUAGCUUGUAAUUAAUAUAUUUUUUGGCUUUGCUUUUUAAGAUUGUAUGCGAUGAUGUUUACUAACUUUCUUGUCUCUUCUUUUUCAUUAAUUUCGUCGUCCUGCCUUUCCUUUUCUUUUUUGAAUUUCUUCUCGUUUAGAGUUAAUGAGAUGGACCACAGUUUCUUUUAUUUAUUUCCUCCGAUGAAAAGGAACUUAUUAUGUUGAGACAAAUUAAGCUGCUUUAAUUGUAAAUCAAUUAGAGCUAGCCCGUUCGGUAAUACAAUAUUAUUAUCAGUAUUUUUCCAAAAAAACGUUUUUUUAUCAAGAAAAGUUAUUAUUAUUUUUUUCCAUGUUUUAAUCUGAAUGGUUUAAUAUAAAGAUAUCAAAAUUUUAAAAUAACAUCAAUUUUCAUGUUUUUAGUUAAAAAAAGAUUAAAAAAAAACCUAAGGGCCUAUCUGAAAGCUUAAAGAAAGAUGGGGACUAAUUAGAACUAUCUUAAGCACAUUUUUUAAUGAAAGAAACUUGAAUUGACUGAGACACCUUUAACACGUAUUGAAGGGAAAAGAUUUGACACCUCUAGUGGUCACACGCGUCAUGAGGGCCUACAAGACUUUUUCGCCUCUUUAAGGAGACAAACAUCUCUUGUCAUAUCUAGUGGACCCUGAGAUAUAUGUGUGUGCAACACUCCCAAUCCUACUUAUUGGAACACUUGUAAAGUGUUGACCUCAUUCUGCAAUUAUCUUGUCUCCAAAUGUUCAGUGUGAUCUUUUUAAACAUACAUCUUAAUUUAAAAUUUAAAAUUAUUAUAUGUGACUGCAAUAAUAAUUUUAUAUUAUUCAGGUUUAUAUUAAUUUAUUUGUAUUCAGGAAUUUUACAUGUGUGAGAAGAAAGGAAUACAUAUACAAAAUGCUAAUGUUCUUAAUUUCACUAUUAAUUCUAAUUUAAUAACAAUUUCACAUAGGUGACAUAGUACUGAUAAGAUGCUUCUUCAAGCCAUAACCAUCAUUUAAUUAAUUUUAGAGUCAAAUAUUCAAAGUAAUUUAAAAAAUAGUGUUUAUAUCACUUGUAUGGCAUACCUAGGCUCUAAUGAAGCCCUAAUUAGUUUUGUUUACAGCUAAUUAAGUGUUUUGGCGAUUCUUUUCUUGCUAACAAACAACAACGGGGGGUCUCUUACACAAAUUUAGAAUGAAGAGAAAUAAAUAGAGUGGUUGUGACUUGUGAGUCGGCCAUGGAAUCCAAAAGGGUGCCUUCAAUUGUUGAGAAAAGUCGUAGUAAUUAAUCUGGCUAGGCAUGUUUUACUCAUGAAAUCGAAGAGAAACGAACAAUAUUUUAAUUUUGUGGCGCUCAACAUAUAUCUGAAUGAGCAGAUAUAUGACACAAAAAUUACAAGGAGCCGAAAUUCCCCCUAUAUCUUUGAAUGAGCAGGAGUUAGGUUUGACAAAAGGCAAGACAAGACAUGGCCGACAUUGCAUCCUUUGCUGUCUUCUCUUCACUUUCAUGGCCUGGUUGGUGAUGCGUCUCUCUCUUCGAUCGUCCUUCUGUCUCUCGAGCACAUACAGUGCAAUACGCGUGCAAGAUUACAAACACACACACACACACACAUACAAUGAAUUCCGUCACACAACCUUGAUCAAAACAUUGCUAUAUGUUUUGGUGAUACUCUCUAGCCGACUAGACUCUGUGAAAACAUAUCAAAAUUAACUGGACAAAACAUUUUUUAAUCCUACAGAUGCAGCACUUCAUUUUUCAAUAACCCAAUUAAGAUCCAGUUUGAAAAAAUAUUUUUAGUCUCCAAUCAUUAAAACUGACCAAACCCUAAUUACCAUUAAAAAAAUACCAAGUGCGUGCUAUGUUCUUUCAGCAUGCACAGUGAGUCCUUUCUUUGACUUGCUUUAAUGAGGUUUCUAUAGUAUUAGUAUUGUGAUAGUGUUUACUCCAAAUUAUUUUUAUAUUGCAAUAGGGCAUGCCUGAUAGAGAUCUGAUUAGGGAAACUGAACAAAUAAUUAAUCAUGGCCAUUCCAUUUUGGGUAACGUGGAAACUUAGCUACCAACUAAUAUUAUAUUAGCAACCUGAAUGGUUCGGUUCUCAAAAGAAGAGGAGGGGACAAGGAUCCAAUGUCGUAGACACAAAAUCUUAUAUCUUUUUGGUCUUGUUCUUUAUUUUUGUAAUAAAAAAAAAGAAAAGGAAACCUUCUUGCUCUUUUCCCGAUCGGCCCCCCUCUGCAGAACAAUAGCUAGGGUUUCUUGAACUCAGAGUUAGUGGUCCACCAAAGAUGUGCCUCCCAUUGUUACUAAUAUCAUUAUGUUCUUUUGGUUUGUUAGUUAUGAUGAUCGUUCCUUCUUUAUCUUUAUCUUUUAUUCUCUACUUGUUAAUUGUCAAUGAUGAUGGAUUUAAGUCACUUUUCGAACUUCAAUUUGACAGUCCAUGACCCCAGGUAGUCUAGAAUGAAGAUUUGACGUGAAUUUCUGUACAUUUUUUUACAUCAUUGCAAUCCACUGUUAUCCACUGUUAGUGUUUCAAGCUCUGAUUAUGAAACUCACAAGAUUGAUGAAAAACUACACACUUUAUUAAGCAAAGCGGGGCUGUUUAAAUACAGCUCUUUACAUAACAGAAUUGAGAAAUAUUAGCCACUACUUCUACUAUCUCUACUGUGAUGAUCCGCAGAUCAAAUCACCACAAAUGUAGCGUGAGAAUAGGUCCACUUCUUGACUACCACGCUAGCUGAGAAUAGCGUGGGAAUAGGUCUACUCCUUGACUGCCACAUCAAUUGAGAAACAUGUUAUUAUUCUGCACUUAUGCAUGCAUGCAUAUAUUUAUUCAAAUGAACUUAACAAAUCCUUCCCUAAACUGAGCAUGCCGUGUUUGUUCAGCUCAGUUUAAUGCCUUCUUCUCUUGUACUCCUAAGAGCAUGCGGAGUUUCACAAAAUCUUCAAGUUUGAGUGGUUUGGUCAUGAUGUCCGUUAUUUGCUCCUUUGUUCCACAGUAGACUAGUUCCACUUCUCCCUUCUUGAUCAAAUCUCUAAUAAAAUGAAAUCUCACAUUGAUAUGUUUUGUUCUUCCAUGUAGUACCGGAUUCUUAGACAGUUUAAUGGAUGAGCUAUUGUCACAGAAUACGGUAAUACACUUACAAUAAUCUUCUUCAACAUUGUUUAGAACUUCCUUCAUCCAUAUACUAUGACAUGCACAUGUGGUAGCUGCUACAUAUUCGGCCUCCGUAGUUGAUAGUGUGAUGAUUGGCUGCUUCCUGGAACUUCAUGCUACUGCCCCAUCUCCCAUCAUGAACACAUACCCGGACGUGCUUUUUCCUCCAUCUAAGUCUCCCGCAAAAUCGCUAUCUGUGUAGCCUUUGAGGAUGUUAUUUGAACCUUUCUUGUAGAAAACACCGAAAUCAAUUGUCCCCUUUAAGUACCGAAGUAUUCUUUUUGCAGCUAGUAAAUGUCCUUCUUUUGGCGCGGCCAUGAAUCUGCUUAAGAAACUUACAGCAUACAUUAUAUCAGGUCGAGUUGUCGUAAUGUACAUAAGGCUACCAAUCAAUUGCUUGUAUUCGGUGUUGUUUACUUCUUCUCCUUUCUCCUGUGAUGAUAACUUAGUUCCUGGAACCAUUGGAUUAUUAACUGCAUUGCAGCUGCCCAUUCCAAACCUCGUAAGAAGUUCACCUGCAUAUUUUUCUUGACACAAAAAUAUUCCAGCAUCCAUUUGGUGUACUUCAACACCCAGAAAAUACUUCAUCCUCCCUAGGUCAGUCAUAUCAAAUACCGAUUGCAUGGAAGCUUUAAAUUCUCUACACAACUUUAUAUCAUUGCCGGUAAAAAUUAAAUCAUCCACAUAGAGACUUACCACCAAAAAACUCCCUCCUUCCUUCUUUAUGAACAAGGUGUGUUCAUAACUGCAUUUUUCAAAACCUUCACCAUUGAAGUAGUCCUCUAUCCGACUGUACCAAGCUCUUGGAGCUUGUUUUAGGCCAUACAAUGCCUUUCUUAAUCGAUACGCUUUCUGCUCCUCUCCUUUCCGAAUGUAUCCUUUAGGUUGUUCAAUGUGAACAACCUCCUUCAGUUCUCCAUGAAGAAAUGCGCUUUUCACGUCGAGCUGAAAAACUUCCCAACUUCGUAGCGCAGCGAGAGAGAGUAUCAUCCUAAUAGUGUCCCAUCUGGCAACUGGUGAGAAUACUUCACUAUAAUCUAUUCCUUGUCUUUGUGCGUAACCCUUCACAACUAGUCGCGCCUUGUAUUUGUCGACUUCUCCCCUUUCAUUUAAUUUGGUUUUAAAAACCCACUUGACUCCGAUUUUUUUCAUCCCUUUGGGCAGCUCCACUAACUCCCAUGUAUUAUUUUUUUCGAUAGCCUGAAUCUCGGCAUCCAUAGCUUGUCUCCAUUUUAUGUCUUUCACCGCCUCAUCAUAGCUUACUAGAUCAUCUGCUGUAGUGUAGAGCACCAGAAAUUGAUCGUCUCCUUCCUCCUCCUCUGUGAGAUUUUCCCCAGUUACGUAGUCUUGUAAGUGUGCUGGAGCUCUACUAAUUCUCUUUGGCUGCUCCCUUCGAAUUGUUGAGAUGAUGAGGUGGCGUUUGCUCGCCAGGUGGCGUCUGCUCGACUUGCUUCACGGCUUGCUUCGUCGGCCUGAGCUUGAAUUUGCUCAUUUUCCAUUUGAGCGUUGCCAGCAUGGUCGUUGCCAGCGUUGCCUUCUUCGUCAGCAAAUGGCUCUGCAUCUUCCCAUUUUAAUUCCUCCAUGUCACCAUCUAUCCUCCCCCAAUUCCAAAUCUCCUCUUCAGCAAAAAUCGCGUCUCGGCUAGUGAUGAUUUGUUUGCUUUCUGGGUCAAAGAGUCUGUAUGCUUUAGAUUCUUCACUUACUCCUAAAAACACACAUUUUUGACUCUUUUCUUCUAGCUUGACCCUCCUUUGAUUUGGUACAUGCACGUAAGCAAUGCACCCAAAAAUUCUGAAAUGUGCCACACUUGAUUUCUGCCCAGUCCAGCAUUCUUCUGGAGUUGCAUCUUGCAGUGCUGCUGUUGGGCUUCGAUUAAUGAUAUGAACUGACCAUUUUGCUGCCUCUGCCCAGAAACUUCUAGGCAUUUUUCUUUCUACCAGUAGACACCGAACCAUGUUCAUGAGUGUUCGGUUUUUGCGUUCUGCUACCCCAUUUUGUUGGGGUGUGUAGGACGUGGUAAGUUGUCUUUUGAUACCCUGUGUGUUGCAAAAAUCUGAAAAGAUUUGAGAAUUGUAUUCUCCUCCACGAUCACUUCGUAGACAUCGAAUUUUCAGCCCUGUCUCCAUCUCCACGCUGGUUUUAAAAAACUUGAAUUUCUCAAAGGUUUCGCUCUUCUCUGUAAGUAAAUAAAUCCAUGUCUUCCGGCUGAAAUCAUCAGUAAAUGUCAGAAUAUACUGUCUGUUGCUCACGGUUUGUGGGGUUAUGGGUCCACAUAAAUCGGAGUGUAUUAGCUGCAAUUUUUCGGAGGCUCUCCAGUUAGCCUUUUUUGGAAUUCCUUCUCUAUGUUGCUUCCCUUUGUUGCGUACUUCACACACCUUGUGUACUGCUUGAAUUUCUGGUAAUCCGUGCACCAUUUUCUUAUGAUGCAGUCCUUGAAGCCCUCUCAAAUGAAGGUGGUCGAAUCGCUUAUGCCAAAGCCCUGUGAUAUCUUCCUGUAUUACUUGCAGACAAGCAUCGUUAUGUAAUUCAGCAAGCAUGACAAACAUGCGGUUUGUGGUCAUUUUUGUAUGCACAAUGAGGCCUUUCUUCGGAUGAAAAAUUUUGCAAACUCCCUUUUUCAUUAACACUGCUAAGCCUCUCUCCUGCAGCUGCCCCACACUUAACAAAUUAUUUGUUAAAUCUGGGACGUAAUAGACAUUGCUGACAAUUUGUGUCCUCCCUUAAACCUUCAGCUUCACAUUUCCUUGACCCAUGACUUGCAUCCUAGCAUUGUUGCCCAGCUUUACAGAGUGCGAAAAGCUCUCAUCCAAAGUGACAAACCACUUUUUGUUGCCUGUCAUGUGGUUUGAACAGCCUGAGUCAAUAAACCACACUUCUUCCUUUGUCAGCUCCUUUGUUUCACUGUGAGCCAUAAGGAGAAGGACAUCGUUUUCUAAUUUCACAUCUCCACCAUUCACUGUCACGCAAUCCAGUGCCACGUUACCACCAUUAUCCAGCUCCACGUCUCCACCAUUCUCUUUCACACAAUCCAGCGUCACAGCAUCUUCAUCGUCCUCUGUUGUAAUGUCUGCAGAUUCCAUUGGCUCAACGUGAGCCAUGAGAAGAAGUUCCUCUUCAUCAUCCAAUUCAACAUAAUUUGCAUUCCUCUCCCAAGUAAGACACUCAUACUGAAAAUGCCCUUGCUUAUGGCAUUUAAAGCAUUUCACAGUUGCUCUUCCAAAUCCCUGUCGUCCUCUGCCUCUGCCUCGACUUUGAUAGGUGGGACGUCUUCUUUCUCUCGGCUCAUUGUGGAAUCUGUCAUCUCCAAUUGAUACAUGCAAUGCAUGCUCCUCAUUGUGUUCUUUAUCUAGCCUUUUGAACUUGGCUUCAUGGACUACAAGUGAGCUUUGUAGUUCGUCAAUUGUCAUUGCGCUUACAUCCUUUGAUUCUUCUAUUGAAACCACAAUAUAAGUAAACCUUUCUGUCAAGGUUCGAAGCACCUUUUCCACCACCUUGGUGUCGGGCAUCGUCUCCCCAUUGCUCCUCAUCUGGUUAGCCACCGAAGUGACUCUCACAAAAUAUUCUGCAAUUGUUUCACUGUGUUUCAUUUGCAGAAUCUCAAAAUCUCGUCUCAAUGUAUUGAGUAGAGAUUGCUUCACUUUGGCAUUCCCCCCAAACUUGCUUUUCAAAGAAUCCCACACAAUCUUCGAUGUGCGCCUGUCCAGAAUCUGUUCAAAUGUAACUCUAUCUAUUGCUUGAUAUAGAUAGUGUUUCACUUGAUGAUCUUUCAUUUUUGCAUCAUCGAGUUGUGUCUGCUGCGCAUUGCUCAACGCAGUCCCCACGAUAGGCUCUUGAAUGCCGUUUUCCACCAGGCUCCACAGCCCCUUUGCUCGCAGCAAAUUUUCCAUCAACUCACUCCAAUGAUCAUAGUGUUGACCAUCGAAAUGAGGAUUUUUUGUUAAAGUCUUAUCGUCACUCAUUCUCACUCUCACUGUGUAUCUCUCGCUGCAAUCAAUCUGUCCCGUAAAGGCUCUGAUACCACUGUUAGUGUUUCAAGCUCUGAUUAUGGAACUCACAAGAUUGAUGAAAAACUACACACUUUAUUAAGCAAAGCGGGGCUGUUUAAAUACAGCUCUUUACAUAACAGAAUUGAGAAAUAUUAGCCACUACUUCUACUAUCUCUACUGUGAUGAUCCGCAGAUCAAAUCACCACAAAUGUGGCGUGAGAAUAGGUCCACUUCUUGACUACCACGCUAGCUGAGAAUAGCGUGGGAAUAGGUCUACUCCUUGACUGCCACAUCAAUUGAGAAACAUGUUAUUAUUCUGCACUUAUGCAUGCAUGCAUAUAUUUAUUCAAAUGACUUAACAUCCACAUCUCUAGUUAUGCAUAAAGAAUUGUAUAUUCCUAUGAUUGCCUGUAUUUUUCUCAGUUUGCAUUAUCGUGUUCGUUUUUUCACAAACUUCUAGCUCCCCUCCCCUUUUCCAUGAGAGUGUAUAGUUGAGUCAUAACUAUCGCAUUACAUCCAUAGAAUACACCUUUUAAAGCUAACUUCUAAUUGAUGAGUUCCUUGGAGUACUAUAAAAUUACAAAAAUCUUGAAAAAUCCCUCCAAUACUAUAAUAAACCCUUUUUGUUUAUAAAAUAUCGUCAAUUAAUAUUGAAAAAAAUAGUUGUAUUAAAAAAUUAAUUAAGCAAUUAAAGAAAGAAUAUAAAAAAUAGAUGAUAAUAGAGACCAAAGAACAAUAACAAAGAAGGGUUGCAGAGAAUUGUGUAUGUAUUAUUUGAAUGUUUCUCUGUACUGAGAUACAAUAACUAUAUAUAUACACAAGAAUAUGGUUAGUUUAGAAAUGAAAUAUAACAGAUACGUAAUGAAAUAUGACACAGAUACGUUUGAUAUGGUUGCUAAUAUCGUGCAAGGCAAAUCUCCUAUAAUCAAGGAAAUCCUAUAUAGAUGUCCAGUAAUCACGCUAACACCCUCCCUCAAACUCAAGGUGGUAUAGUAGAUGCCAUCUUUAGUUUGCGUAAGAGAUCCUGGAAACGACCUGGAAGAAGUGUUUUGGUGAAGAUAUCAAUUGUUUGUUGUUCAGAGGAGACAGAAACCAAUCUUAUGGUGCCAUGAGAAACAUGAUGUCGUACAAAAUGACAAUCAAUCUCGAUGUGUUUUGUACGCUCAUGAAAUACAUCAUUAUGAGAAAUCUGUAUAGCAUUUCUAUUAUCACAAUGAAGCAUAGUGGCAGAAGAAUGUGGAACACCCAUGUCAGUUAAUAGCCACCGCAACCAAAUUAAUUCAGAGGAAGCAUCUGCAAUAGCACGAUAUUCAGAUUCGGCACUAAAGCGAGCAACAACAGUUUGCUUUUUACUACGCCAAGAGAUAAGAGAAUCACCUAGGAAGAAACAAUAUCCAGUUGUAGACCGACUAUCAGUUGGAUCUCUACCCCAAUCAGCAUCAAAGUAGCCAGACAACACCAAUGAGGAGUUGGCAGAGAAGUGUAAACCAUAAAAUAGAGUGCCUUUAAGAUAACGAAGUAUCCGAAGCACUACAGAGAAGUGAGUGGAGCGAGGGGCAAACAUGAACUGACUUACUAAAUGAACAGCAUAUGAGAUGUCAGGUCGAGUAGCAGUGAGAUAGACAAGACUCCCAACAAGUUGUCGAUACAAAGUAGGAUCAGCAAGAGGAGUGUCAUCUAGAGGUGUAAGUUUGCAAUUGACUUCCAGGGGCGUGGACUCUGUUUUGUUAUCAGUGAUACCAGCACGAGAAAGUAAAUCAGAUGAAUACUUGGCUUGUGACAAGUAAUAGCCUUCAGAAGAUUGAGAAACUUCAAGACCCAGAAAAUAGCUAAGAUGACCAAGAUCUUUCAUCUCAAAAUGCUGACUAAGAUGGUGUUGAACUUCGGAAAUACCAGAAGCAUCAUCUCCUGUUAUUAUCAUAUCAUCAAUAUAUAUUAAUAGAAGAAAAACACCACGAUCAGUUCGUCGAAUGAACAAUGCAGAAUCAUGAGAACUGGAAAGAAAGCCAAACUGAGCAAGAGUGGAACUGAAUUUGGCAAACCAAGCCUUAGGGGCUUGUUUUAAUCCAUACAAGGCUUUCUGAAGUUUACAAACUUUAUGAGGAGCAUGAUAACCAGAAGGAGGAAGCAUAUAAACUUCUUCUGUUAAAUCGUCAUGAAGGAAGGCAUUUUUAACAUCCAUCUGAAAUAGCUUCCACUUUCGAGCUGCAGCAAUAGCUAAUAGACUACGGACAGAUGUUAACUGAGCUACAGGAGCAAAAGUUUCUUCGUAGUUUAUACCAUACUCUUGAGUGUAUCCUUUGGCAACCAAACGAGCUUUAUAAUGCUCAAUAGUUCCAUCAGAACAAGUCUUAAUUUUGUAAACCCAUUUGCAGCCAACAGGUGUCUUGUUAGGAGGAAGAUCAACUAAGUCCUAAGUAUGAGUUUUCUCCAAAGCCUGAAAUUCCUCACUCAUAGUUUGCUGCCAAAGAGGGUCAGUACUUGCCUCUCGAUAAGAUCGAGGCUCAUGAAGAGUAGUAAUAGCAGAAUAACAAUGAAAAUAUGCAAGAGAAUGAGGAGUUUCUCUUACCCGAGUGGAACGAUGAAGAGGAUUGACAGGAGUAGUGGCAGGGACAAGUGCAGGAUCAACAGCUGGUACAGAUUCAGGGGGAUCAUGUGGUAAAGAGUUAUCAGUGAGUGCACUAGAAUCACCUGGAUUAGUACUUGAAAACAAAUCAAUUGAGGAAUUAGUGAAAAAGAAAGAGUCAGUUUGGACAGAGUGGUGAAACUUUGAAAGACAAGAGAACAUGGUGUGUUCCCAAAAGACAACAUGACGAGAGAUACGUAAUCUAUUGGAAAUAGGAUCCCAACAUCGAAACCCCUUGUGUUCAUUCCCAUAACGAAGCAAACAACAUAGUCGAGCUCGGGGUUAUAAUUUUGUAUGUUCAUGAGGUUGUAAAAGCACGAAACAAGCACAUCUAAAAGGUUUAAGAACAGAAUAGUCAGGAGGCUGACCAAACAACUUUUCAAAAGGAGAUAAAUUAUGAAGAAUUGAAGUGGGGAGCCGAUUAAUAGUAUAGACAACAUUAAGAGCCGUUUCCCCCCAAAAUUUUUCAGGACAUGAUGCUGAAAUUAGAAAAGCACGUACAGAAUCAAGAAUAUGGCGAUGCUUUCACUCGGCUCUACCAUUCUACCGUGAGGUAUGAGGAUAAGAACGUUGAACCACAGUACCUUGCUUAUUCAAGAACUGAAGUAAGGAAAAAUCUCUAUAUUCCAUGGUAUUGUCUAUUCUAAGAAUUUUUAUGGAACAAGAAAACUGAGUUUUAACCAUAUUAACAAAGGUAAUGUAUAUUUGUGGUAGCUCAGAACAAUGUUUCAGAAAAUAUAUCCAGGUAAGUGAAGUGAUGCAAGCUCAAAUAAUCGACCCACUUUGCGACCCGUUCUAAGAAUCUGUCCCGUUUGUGAAUCCUGUACCUGAACACUAGAGGAAGAGAAGAAAACUGUUAGUUCUUUCUCACACAACUGACCAACUGAGAUAAGAUUGAGUGUCAAAUUAGGAAUAUGAUACGUUUCAGGAAGACUAAGAAUGGGGGUAGUUACAUGACCAGUAUGAGUAAUGGUCAUUUGAGUACCAUUUGCAGUAUGGAUUGGUGGCAAGGAAGAAACAGGUGUUUUAGAGGACAAAAGAUUAAUAUCAGUGGUCAUAUGGUUACAACACGCAUAGUCAAAAAAUCAAGGAGAGUUACCCGGAGUAGCAGACAUGGCAGUAGAGGAAUUGGAAGAGAUAACUUGUUUAACCAUUGCCUCAAGAUCACUCAUAGUGACGAAGGUAGAACCUUCAGUAGUAGCAGCAACAGUGGCAGAGGAAGAGCCAGGCUUUGACAUAAUUUUAGAUUUAGAAAACCCACCUUUUGGUCUUGGAGGACGUGUGGGACAGUGUUCAAGAAUAUGGCCAAAAGCAUGACAAUAUCUGCAUUCUACAGUAGGGUAAGUAGCAAAAGCAUGACCCAUUUGAUGACAAUUCUUACAUGUCUGAUUGCCAAAUUUCUGAUGUGAGGACCGAGUAGUUACAAGAGCUAUGUCAAAUUGAGGAGAUUUAUCCAGAUUGAGACGAGUCUCUUCAAAAAUAAUCUCCUGAAUAGCAGUGUUUAAUGAAGGGAGUGGAUCCCGAUGUAGAAGAGAGGCUCGAACAUAUUCAUAUUCAGGUCAUAGAGCCAUGAGUACCUGAAUGAGAUGCAAAUGAUCCUCACUAAUGUUGGCCUGAGAUAUUUGAUUCCAAAUUGGUUGGACUUGAGCAAGAAAAUCAUUAACAGAUUGAUCUGAUCCUUGUUUGAGACUAUGAAGUGUAGUCCACAACUGAUAAUAGUGGGCAAGUCCAGUGGUUUGAUACCGAUUAGCCAAUAAAUCCCAGAUUUCUUUGGCAGAGUCAUAAUCUGCAAACUGUAUGUGAAUGGCUGGUACUGAGGUGUUACGAAACCAUGUAAUAAUCUGAUGAUUUUUACUAUCCCAGUCCUCUAAGCGAUCUGCAAACUUUGUAUCAGAUUCAUCUUUCUCUUUGGUUGGUUUAAUGAUAUCUCCAGUAACAAUACGCCACAGCUUACGACCAAUUAAGAAGCUUUUCAUUCCUUGAAUCCAAAGAUUAUAGUUUGAACCAGACAAAACAGUUGUAAUGGGUUGUGAAAUAUCAGGUUUUUCCAUGAUGAUGACAGGGAGCAAGGCACACGACAGUUGUAGACUCCAAUAAUACUAUCAGAGAGGUGUUUGUAUGAAUGCCAAAGAGAAGCAGGAACAGAUUUAUUGCAAAGACACAAGACCAUGGAAGCAUAUGAGAAAUUUUGGAUCUAGAGUCUAGGCUCUGAUACCAUGAUAACAGAGACCAAAGAAUAAUAACAAAGAAAGGUUGCAGAGAAUUGUGUAUGUAUUAUUUGAAUGUUUCUCUAUACUGAGAUACAAUAACUAUAUAUAUACAUAGGAAUAUAAGUUAGUUUAGGAAUGAAAUAUAAUAGAUACGUAAUGAAAUAUGACACAGAUACGUUUGAUAUGGUUCCUAAUAUCGUGCAAGGCAAAUCUCCUAUAAUCAAGGAAAUCCUAUGUAGCUGUCUAGUAAUCACGCUAACAAUAGACAUGAUCAUAAUUGUUGUUUCAGUAGAUCAGAAGUAUCAAUUUCACUAUUUAAUUUUGGUCAAUUUUAGAUUUUUUUUAUUCUUUCUCUAAUUUAUCAAUUUUUGUAAAUAGUAAUUAAGGAAAUUUUAGGUAUAAAAAAUAUUUUUGUAGAAUCUUUUGGAUGAUCUCUGUAAUCUUAUAUUUAAUUAAGAUAUUAUCUUAAAGAAACUAUUAUAAUUUAUUAUAUUCUCAAAUUCACUAACUUGAACACAAUUCCGAUUGCAUUAAUAUAUGUUUAUAUCUUAACAGUACAAAUUCUUCAUUUUAUUUUGUCGAUAGCUAGAGGCAAACUCAACCUAUGAGGACAUAAGAAAAGCAAGCCUUUAAAUAUAGAAAUGCAUACGAAUGGCUUGGGAUUUGCUUGGUAUUAUAAAAUAAUAGUAUUAGUAAAACAAUGUUCGUGUUUUUAUAAAAACGGUAAUUAAACUGAAAAAUACCCACAAUAAAACCACUUUGCUUUUUUAAAAGCAGUCAUGCAUGCUUUAAUUCAAAGCAAAGCAGUUUAAAAAAAAAAAAUUAAAUACUAUUACUUUAAAAUAAGCUCUUGAUCUCUUUAAUCUCCAAGCUCCUUGUAUAAGAGAUAUAAUAACUAUUGGCCUGAAGAAAGUGAUAUGGUGUAUCUAAUUUUAACAACUCAUGAACCUUAUAAUUUAAUAAAUUAUUUAAUCAUGAUUUAUUCCUGAGGAACACCUCCAGGUGUGUGUGUGUAGAUGAUUUGCGCGGUCUUAAAAUUGCUUUAAACAACCAUCGAGCCCAAGCUAAGUUAUAGGCCUAAUCUAGUAAUUCAACCUCUGAGUUCGGAAACAUCACGCGAAGGCGCAGUCCACUUGCUAGCCCGCAGUCCACUUGCUAGCCUGCAGUCCACUUGCUAGCCCGCAGUCCGUAGGCCCUUUCCAGUCGCGCUGUCCAGUCUAGAAUCAAGAUGUUUCCUUCUACUUUCCUUGGUGAUUUCUACGAGCUUUCCAGAUUCUUGUUAGCUACGGCGGAGCGAGGAGUCAAGAUUUAAAUUUUAUGUUUUAUUUUUUUUAAGAGUUACAAAUGUAAAAUACAUAUACAUCCCUAGAAAAAUCUAUAUUUUAUCAGGAACCCGGGCUCCCCUUGUCUCAGCCCUUGGUUACGUCAUUAUAUAUCCACCUGGUUCUUAACUUGGUGGAUGUUUUAAUCAAUAAUUAUACGUACGUCAUUAUAUGCCCUCUCCUAGUGGAAAAGAAGUGGAGAAUUCCAAGGGCAGUGUCCCUGCUGAUCCUCAAGUUGUAGUUAGAGAUUGAAGAAACAAGAGCCUUUUGGUACUUGAAAACUGAAAUGGCAAUCAUAUUUAUUUGUCGAUUUUCCGUCUUCUCUCUUUCUCACAACUCGACACUAAACAAUAAACAAAGAUUUUUAAGACUAAAAAUAAAAUUUCAAUUUGUUUUACACUUUUAUCUCUUUGUUGAAUUUUUUCUUUCUUUAAAUUUCAGAAAUUGAUUAUUAAUUUGGUGAUAAGAGUUUGUGAUUGAAAAGGAAAUUGAGAAUGAAAUUUGAAAAAAACUUACGUGGAUUGUUACUGUGAAAAGCCUUAUAGUAAAUUUUGUAAUUGUAAUUUGAGAGUGUAAUUGGAACAAGUGUUAACCCCGUUGAAACUCAUGCACGUAGCUGGUUUCAAUCUUCAAGACUCCAACACGUACGAUGACCACACUGGGCAGACACAGAAUCUUCAAGACUCCAACACGUACUCGAGGCGGAGUCCUUGUCUUCGACUAAUGGUAUUAAAAUUCAGUCAUCACUGUCGUUUAUCAGCAGCCCUCGUUUAUUAACACAAGGGAUAAGAAGGCGUGGUUACUUGGUAGCCUUGCAAGUUUUUUUCUUUCCUUUUCUUAAUGCACUCAUGUACGUGUAACAUUAUCUAAUAUAUUUUAAAAAAGUUCGUGCGACAACACAGCUCUUUUAUUGUUCAUGGUGAUAGUGAAUGAGGGCUUUUUUUUUUUACUUUUUUUUUUUAAUUUUAUUCUUUAAUAUUUAUUUGAUUUUAAAUUUAUUUUUAUAAUUUGUUUUUUUUUAUAAGUCUCACAGUUUUGAAAAAGAAUUUCUUAAACCUAGUGCAUUCCGUCAUCCGAAUCAUAAAUUUAAUAGGUCAAGUAACGAAACUCAAGUCAAUUUAAUAUGUUGAUAUCUUCGUAUUAAAAUAAAAAUAUUUAAUUUUUUUAAAAUUAAACUAUAUUUUUAUAUUAAAAUAUUUUUUAUUCAAGCCGCAAUGCUAUAAGCAUUUAUAACAAUAUAGUCGAAUUGAAUUGGAAGAAGAUUCAUUUAGUAUUCUAUAAAAUCUCAUGAAAUUAUAUUUUAAUAAAUUCAUGUAAAGAAUUUCAUGUAUUCAAUAAUCUUAUUUUUUAAAAUCAUGUUUAAAAACAUAUAUUAUUUUAAUAAAAUUAGUGUUUACCUAGUCUUUUUUUAUUUAGUCUUGUUUUUCUUUUAAAUUAAUUUUUGUAAAAAAUUAUCUUUCAAUAUUAGUUUGAAUAGGAAUUGUUCGUCUUGAUUUGUUUCAAAUUAUUUUUUUAUAACGUUAUUAAACUCUCACAAUCUAGUUCAUUUGAUUUAAAAGAUUAAUUAAGGUUGACUCGAGUCCUAUUAUUAUGUUGUCUUAAUAUAUUUUUUAAAAAAUAUUAUUUUAAAUUUUUUUAUUUAAAUAAUAUUUUUACCAUUUGUGAGUAACUUUUAAAAAUAGCAAAUCAUGUCAUUGUAAAUCAACAAUCACAUAUUUUAAUUGUUUUUACUAGAAAAUAUAUUAACAUCUCUGAAAACUAUAACUAAAUAACCAAUGAAUUAAAUUAAUUUGACUCGCGGCAUAACGAGUGAUAACAAGUAGUGUGAACUAAUAGAAGGGAAGGCCCACAAACAUUUGACGACUUCCUUGUCAAUGCAUUAAAUUAAAAGAAGGAACUCACUGGGAAAAAGGAAACAUCAACGGAUAAGAUAUUUAAAAAGGACACGUGGAGCUUCAGCAGUGAAACAAGUCAUCAAACACGUGCCGUUGUUGAAGAAGUUCAAGGAAAUUACUUCGUCGUCGAGGAGGCAUACGACCCCACAUGACACACGUGGUUAACACAUUAUCUGCUCAGCUAAGUAAAAUAGGACCCACCAAGACCAGUCAAAAGUGUGAAGUAACCUUCCGUGUUCGUGUUCAGUGUUCACCUCGUAUCCUCAUCCACAAAGAUCCUGAGCAUAUAUAGCAGCACACAAUCUCACUUCCGUUAGUUAAAAAAGAGCAAGCCGGAAUCUCAACACUCUCACAAGUCAUUCAUUAUCCGUGCCCAAAAGUUCAAAGCGGACCCAUAAACCCUAUACAAACAUCACUAGCUCUUAAAAAAUGGUCAUGGGAGGAUCAAAUUCGUUCUCACCUGACAAGCAAGAAUCAUCUUUAUCAUCUUUACUAUCCGAUAGUAGCGGUUCUCAGCAGGACUCGCCCAGUUCGAACGAGAAAGUCUUACUAGCAACAAGUCGUCCGAAAAAGCGUGCAGGGCGGAGGAUAUUCAAGGAGACUCGUCAUCCAAUCUUUAGAGGUGUUAGGAAGAGGAAUGGCGAUAAAUGGGUUUGCGAAUUGCGUGAACCAAAUAAGAAGUCACGUAUUUGGCUAGGCACAUAUCCUACACCCGAAAUGGCAGCCCGGGCACAUGAUGUAGCUGCUUUGGCGUUUAGGGGAAAAUCAGCUUGCCUUAAUUUUGCGGACUCGGCAUGGAGGUUGCCUGUGCCUAUUUCAAAUGAGGCCAAGGACAUCAGGAGGGCAGCAAGUGAGGCAGCAGAGUUGUUUAGGACUUCAGACCUUGGUGGUCAAGUAAUGGAAGAUUUCAGGAGGGAGGACCGUGGUGAAGUUCGUAGUAGUACUAAUGAUGACAUAAGAGAUUUGCCAUCUGAAAAUGUGGGGUAUAUAGACGAAGAGGCAGAAUUUAACAUGCCAGGGUUGCUUGCUAGUAUGGCAGAAGGCCUUCUACUCUCUCCUCCACAUUAUACUGGGGACUGGAAUGACGGGGAAAUUGAUGCUGAUUGGUCGUUGUGGAGUAGUUAAUUUGACGUGUCAGGGUUUUGUGGAUUUUUCUCUUCUAGCUAGUUACAGAAAUUCAAAUUUUUUGGAAAAUGUUCGAUCGGAGGAAUUAAUGUCAUGGGAUAAAUUGUGUGUGUGUGUGUGUGUAUAGAAAACAAGCUGACAGGCUCGAUGGCUAUUAAACAUCAGAGCAUGUCUUGAUAUAUUGGGCAGAGUGUAACUUCUUGAUAUAUAAGCUUAAUAUUCAAGAAAUUCAGAACGAGUCGCUGAGAUAGGUGGACAGAAGAAUAACAUUGCGAAGAACUGAUAUUUCUCUCUCUUGUUUAUCGACCUAGCAAGCUAUGUAAAACAUUUUGGAUUUUCGCUCAGGUACUCUGCCAAUCAACAGCCGACAAAGAGAUGUCAUGGUCACGAAAGUAAAGUCGGUUCUUUUAUAAUGGACAUAGAUAACAAUGUUUAGUUUGGUAGAUUAUUAAUUAAUGAAAAUAAGUUCUCACUUACCUCUCAGUUUAAUUAGAAUUAAAGAUAUUUGAAAGUUUUUUUUUCAUUAAUAAUAAAUGAAGAACAAAUAAAUCACUCUUUUUUAUAAAUUUAGAGGAAUUAUUGCUAUUUGAAGAGAUGAUGGACAUAAUUAAGAUGCCCUUUUAAUGAUUUGGAUGGCAAAUAAAAUGUUUGAGAUUCCCAAUCUUGAAAUGCCUAUACAGGACUUCAGUUUAUACAGGACUUGAUUGCAUUCAUACAUAAAAGUGAGUUUGGAUCAUCAUAUAUCAAUAAAAAAUAAGUCAUGCUAUCAUAUCACAUCACGUUAAUGAAAAAUCCAAAAUCACAAAAUGAUAGCAACUUUCUCUAUCCAACAAAAAAACAAACGCCGGACUUUUUAUUUAAAGUGAAAAAAAAACUUGACAAAUAAAUAACAUCCGAUUCCAUAUAUACAAGAUUUACUUGGAUCUUGAUAAAAUUAAAUAAAUAAAUAAUCUAAAAGUAUGAAAAAAAGAAAAGGGAGAGGCUGCUGUCGGGUCUCAUCGGCAAUAGCUACGCUGAUACUUUAGAUAAAACUAGAUUUUUUGAGUAUUUUUAGAGGGAAAGAGGGGUAAAAUCCUUAUGAAACUAAUUACAGGAGGGUAGAUACUGGGGACAAAUGUUUUAGAAAACAUUUAAAAUUGUUAUGCUUAUAGGUUGAACAUGUUCUUUUACUGGAUAUGCAAUAGGGCGUGCCUGAACCAAGCUCUUCUACCUGAUAAAAGGUUAUUUAUUUUAUGUUUCUUGUCCUUAGUUUCAGCUAGAGUACGUAACGGCGGAUAAAGGGACAGGGGUGUAUUUCUUCCAUUCGCAUCAUAUAUUAAAAUGAAGGCUCUAUAGAAGUACGGAAAAAUAAUGUAGAACAAUUCGUUUACAUGUAAAGCUAACUGCUAACUAUGGCACUACGUACUAAUCUAGAAGUUUGCCUAAUAACUCCAUAACGACAAAUCAGAACCAUUCUCCAUAUGAUCCAAGUCGUUGCAAUCAUUCCUUACAUAACGUGGAGGAGAGAGUAGAAGACCUUCUGCCAUGUCCACGAGCAACCCUGGCAUGUCAAACACUGCUUCCUCGAAGAAGACAUCAUUUUCUCCUGGCAUGGCAAACACUGCUUCCUUGAAGAAGACAUCAUUUUCUUGGAAAGUUUUGCAAUCAUCGCUGCAAACUUCACUUGAGCAAUCCUCUAGCACUGCAUUGCUAUCUUGUUGUUUUGCCGGAUGACCACCAAACUCUUGAGGCCUAAAUAAUUCUGCUGCCUCAUUUGCUGCCCUUGUAAUAUCCUUAGAAUCCUUCGAAACUGGCACAGGCAACCUCCAGGCAGAAUCAGCGAAGUUAAGGCAAGCAGAUUUGCCUCUAAGUGCCAAAGCAGCAACAUCAUGAGCUCGAGCUGCCAUUUCUGGUGUAGGAUAUGUUCCUAACCAUAUUCGUGACUUCUUGUUUGGUUCCCGCAUCUCACACACCCAUUUGUUACCAUUCCUCUUCCGAACACCUCUAAAAACCGGGUGCCGAGUCUCCCUGAAUAUUCUGCGGCCAGCGCGUUUUUUCGGAAAACUUGUUGCUAGUAAGACCUCUUCAUCAGAAUGGACAACUCGUCGAGACGUGCUGCUAUCGGAGAAAGAAGAUGCUUCUUGCCUGUCAUUGGGCAUUGAAUUUGACCUCAAAGGAUGUUGAUCAGAGAAUUGGCAGAAAUUAUCCAUUCAACAAGAACUGAAGGCAGUUUCAACUUUUGAGAGGGAAUAUAUAGAAUGAUGGGGUGAAUUUAUUUCUUUCUUCUCUCGUCUGUCUGUCAAGGGAAUUUCUUUUUUGUUGCUUUCUGGGGGUUUCAAGGGGGGAAUUGAAUGUAGUGUGAAAGGCUUCGGUUUUGGAGACAGUGGGUGAUCUAGGAAGUGUUGAAUCGGUUGCUCAGUCAGAUGGGAUAAUUAUAUAGGCUUUGUGUUUUGAAGAGGAUAUUUAUUGGUGGGGCCGUACACGGAUUCACUUGAGAUGCCAGUUGGAGACCCACGGUUCACACCAGGGCCAGGAACAGGAAGCACCAAAGUGGAAAGUGAUAUGAUGGUCGUUCUCCACUUUUGUCUCUGCCAGCAGCUUCUGCCACCUCAUUGCUUACAAUUUACCGCUGUAUCGUACUAUCUACUCUUAUGCACGUGUACUCUUAAUUCAAAGGAAAUAACACGUGGAUCUUUUCCAACGCUCGAUUGGCAGCUUCAUGUCGCCCCUCGAGAAUACAUGUUUUUUCUUUUUUUUACUUCCGAGUGUUGAGAAUGCGUCUCCUCAGUGUGUUGACUUCGUAUUCACUGGGAACUCUUGCUUCUAGUAGUUUAGCGGUGUCUGCAUGCAGCGAAUUUAAAAUUUGUUAAACUCUGUUAAACUAAUUAGAUUUUUAAUUUAUUUUUUAAAAAAAUUAUUAAUUUAAAUUUCAUAAAUUUCAGGAUUAUUAAAGAUUUAAAUAAUUAUUAAUUUUAGUAUCUAUAAAAUUAAUCAAGAUACGUGUAAAUUAGUCCGGACACCCACAUUAAUAAAAAACAAUUUAUUAAAAACCAGUUUGAUAUUAUUGUGUUAUAUUAUGCUGUGAUUACUAUACUAUCUUAUGUUAUUUGGUGUUGUGCAGUAGAAUAAAGUACUUUUUUAUAAUUAAUUGUUGUGUUUUGCUUGUAAAUGUUUAAAGCAGUUAAUUAUUGUUUGGUUACAUUUUAUUAUCGUGUUUUUGAGAUAUCAAAGGAUUGUAGUAUACUAAAAAUAUUUUGAUACAUAUAUUUCAAUAUUAUUAAAAAAAAAUUAUAACAUUUAUGAUAGUGUCUAUAUUUUUAUGGGACCGAUUCUUAAAUUUAGAAAACUAAAAACAUAAAUUAAAUGGGAUGAUAAUAUAUAUAUAUAUAUAUAUAUAUAUAUAUAUAUAAAACAAAAUUGAUAUAAAAAAAAUUUGAAUGAAGUUGCAUAAAACACUAGUAUAUAUAUUUUAAUUUAAAAAAAAUAAUAGAGAAAGUUGUUUAAAACAAACCCUAUAAUAUAAUAAACAAUUGUACAUUUUGUUAGAAGCAGGAAAUACUCUACUUUAUUUAAAAAGCAAAACAUUGUUUUUUAAAUAACAUUGAAUAUAAAACUAAAUGGCGUUGGAUUUUCAUUGAGAUGAAAAUAUCCUCUCACGUAUUAUUGUGGAUGGAUUGUGCAAAAAAAUUUAUUUUUUUAUUUUGGUCUUUAAAUUUUGUUUUUUGGUGAUUUAAUUCUAGAUAAAGACCAAUUAAUUUUGAUUUCUUAUAAAAAACAUUAGGAUUAAAAGAUGAGCCAAAAUAAAAAAGGAGUCAAACAUGGAUGGCAUGUCAUAAGUUUUACAAAAGAUACACUUUGGUCAUCGAACUUAAAAAAUAACACAGAUUAUACAAUUCCGGUACCUCAGUAUUUUUUAAAUUCAAUUUUAAUAUAAAAAUUUAUUUUUGUUAUUUUUUAGUUCCUAAUUGAGAGAGCAUAGUAAGAGGUCGCUGGGUUCCAGAGAUAGAAAAAAAAAUAUGUUGUUGAUACUGAUUUAGGUUAUCAAAAUGGAUAAUAUUUGUGUCAGAUGAUUUCAUUUGAUGAAAAAAAUUCAUAUUACAUGUAUUUUUUACCUUUAAAGUUUAUAAAAAAAAUAUAUGAGCUUGAGUUGAUUUUUAAUUUCAAGUUAAUUUUGGUUAUUGAAUAUGUUUUGGGUUUUUUUAAGGUUAUGGAUAGAUUUGUCAUGUGAUUUCUUAAGAUAUUUUAAUUUCAAAUUAAAAGCACAAUAAUUAGAACUAGCUCUUUCAUUUUUACAACAAUUUUAUGGAAUAGUGUUAAAACAGUAGUUCUUUAAUUUGGUGGGUAAAGUAAAGCAAGUGAUAGUUUUUUCUUUGGAGUUGGGAACAAUUGUGGUCCCCAUGGAAUCAUUUGAUCCUUCUUUAAUCAAGCAUAAAUAAAACAUGCCUGAAAACAAAUUAAAAAGCCAGCUUGAAAGUGAAGGCCAUGAAGUGGGAUAAGGGAUGGCAUCAAUCUCGUAACGUAACGUAAAGGGUGGGAUAAGCUGGACACAAGGCCCAGCUUCAAGACCCACUUCAAGGUAAAAGUUCCCCGAGGAGAAAUGUUAUUUAAAGGAGCUAAAUCGCUAAUAAGUCUUUUUGAAUAGUAUUAUGCAUUCUAGAAAGAUUUUAAAAUAGUUAAUUAUAUUUUAAUAUAUUUAUUAUACAGUUAUUUUAAUAGUUUAAUAUAUUUUAGUUAAUUUGAUAGAUCUAAAAAUAAGUUAGACGAUUAUCAAUCAACCUAAUAUAAAAAAUAAAAAAACAUUAAUUAAAAAACAAAAAAAAAACAACUCAAAUGAAAGCGUCAAAGUCAUAAAAGUCAUAACAUGUAUUAUAAGAUCAUAAUAAUUUCAUUAUAUGCUGAUAUCAAAAAUAAAUUUUUAAAUAAUAUAAAAAAUAUAUUUUAAAAAAAAUCAUUUAAAAAAAAACCCACUAACAAAAUAUAUCAUCCUCGUAAUCAUUCAAAAAAGACACCCCUGAUUAGUGGUUUAAUGGUUAAACAAAUGCGUGGAACGAGGUUAGACCACGGGAUAACGAGAAUCACGUGGUGGUCCCAGGAAUCCGAGCUAGGUGGUGCACAGGUCCAAGCUUGUUAACUGUUGGGCUCAGACAAUAUACCUUGAUCCAUACUUUACUGUUCAGAUCCCUAGUGGACAAAAUGACUGGAUCCACGGUAUUAAAAAUUUAAAAUUUUGACGUUUGAUGAUGCAGUUUUAUGCUCUCUCAAUAAAGUGUUUCAACAAAGUUAUUAAACUUAAAAAGUUAAUAAGAUAAAUUACAGGUUUAACGGAUUAAGUAAUGAAAUCUAAAUUGAUUUAAUAUAUAUUAUUUAAAAAUAUAUAUAUAUUAUUUUAAAUUUUUUGAAGCCAAAACCAUGUUUUUACUGGGGGUCACUCAUAAAUAAUUUUAUUUAAAGUUUGGAAUGGGCAAAAAGUCAUGAUAGGAGGUUUCCCGAUUGAUCUACUAUCUCAGGUUUAAUAACAUUUCCUACAGCCCAUGCACUUUUUUUACAUUAAAAAAAAUUAAUCAAGCCUGCAACGUAUGCGAGAUAAUUACCUAGUUAUUUUACUAUUCUUCUUCAUAUUCAUGCUGUCAUCAGUAAACAAUAAGUCAUUAAAAAAAACAUUUGUGGAUUUUCUAUUUUUUUUAACUUAUUAGCUAAUUAGGUAGUGUUUUUAGAAUAAUUUGUGUAUCUUCUUGAUUUAGUAGUAGAAUAAAUCAUUUAUCCGCAAUAUAUAACAAGUUGAAUCAAAUAUUUUUCAAACAUUAAAAAAUAUUUCGGCAUCGGGAAUGUGUUUUAAAGAAAAUAAAUAAAUCAUGUAGGGAUUAACCCAAUAUAACCUUGUCAACUUGACAAGUUCAAAGGUAACCUAGACAAUCAGGAAAACAAAACAUAGUUCGACAGAAAAAAUUUCAAUAAAACAUCUUCUUUUUUUAAGAAAUACUAAGAUAAGAACAUAUUGAAUCGACUAUGUCUACCCAGGUUAAUAUGUAAAAUUCAUGACAUGGGUCUUGCAACCUUGAUAACCUCAUAUAAAACAAAUCAAAAAACUUUUUUGAAACUCAAUUCUCAAUUAAUCUAAUGUUGAAGGAUGAAAUCAAGAAGUAAAAAAUGGCAAAAAAAUAACCCGAGUUAACUCGAUCGGGUUAACUUGUCAAAUUCGAAACAUGAAACUAGAAUAACCCAAUAGAAAGAAGAUAAAAAUAAAUUAUGAAUCUCAAUCCCAAUAAACUCAAUGUUGAAGGAUGAAAUUGAAAAAAAAAUCAAUUAAGAAAUGAGACAAAAAAAGACUUGUGUCAAUCUGGGUUAACAUGUCAAACUCGUGACCCGGACCAUGAAACUAAGAUAACAUCGUAUAAAGCAAGUCAGAAAAAACUAUAAAUCUCAAUUUUCAAUCAACCUAAUAUUGAAGGAUAAAAUUAAAAAAUAAUAAUAAAUUACAAAAAAGGAAAAAAAAUUGCGUUACCGGGAUAACCCGUAUAAGCCAUGACUCGGGUCAUAAGAUUGAGAUAGUCUCAUAGAAAGAAAUCCAAAAUAAAUUAUAAAACUCAAUACCCAAUAAAUAUAAUGCUAAAGCAUAAAUUUGAAAAAAAAAACUAGAUUUUUUUUUAAAAAAAUAUAUAUAUUCCAAUGAACAAUACUUUGUGAGGAAGAGAAUAAUGAUUUUCCCUCCUCUUAGUUUUUGUUAAAUACAUAUUUAUUAGUUUAUGUUGAUUUAAUAACAUGUUUAGUUGGAUAUAACAUAAUAUAAUGCAAUCUAUAAAUAUGUUAUGUAAUGGAGUGCAAUGAUCCAUUACAUUUAUGUUUAAAAAGUUUUUUCAACUUAAUUUUGUUUAAAAUCACCACAAUAAUAUCAUAGAAACCUCCAUAAACACAUUUUAAUUCUAAAACGUCUUUUAAUUAGUUAAAAAAAUUAAAUCAAAUCAAAUUAAAAAUAAAUUAACAGGUCUCAAUCUAUUUUCUAUGCCAUGUUUAAAAGAUAAACCACCUCCAUUGUAUUUUAUUCUCUAAGACAACUUAUUGACACAAAGUUUGGUCAUUUUGUGGUUAGAAUGUGAUCGGCCAAACAUUUUAUCUCUCGUCUCUUUUUUCCAAAAACUUUCUAUCUCAUUCCUCCAUAUCUAAAGAUUGAGAUUGAUGCAAACCUCUUGAUCAUGCGGUUAAGCAACCCACAACAAAGAUGAUACAGCUCCUGAAAAGCUACGGAAUCAAGUUUGAUAAGAGUGUGAUACAAUGAAAACCUAUCCUAAGACACCAAUAUUAUUGGAAUAAAAAACCUCUACCUAAUGAAUACCAAUUCGCGAAAGAGAAGUAUGAGGAAGAUACCACAAGGUCAGUUAUACAUUAUUAAGUCAAAUUUAUUCCUUGUACCAACAAAGAAAACAUGUUGUCACGCAAAACACAUGUUUAUUUCAUAAAUUCAUCGCUGCUGAAAAUUUCAGCUUAGAAAACCUUAUAUGAUAGUCCAACUAGUAACUCUAAUGAACCCAAAGCUUGGGGGCUAAUAUUUACCCACUCACAACAAGUAAACACACAAACAAAAUACAUAUACUACAAAAAUAUGCAAUAAAGAUUAACAUUUUAAAAUUGAGUUCAAAUUAAAAAAAAAUAGAUAGUUUUGCUGAAGUGAAGAAUCCUCAAUAAAAUUUAAAUCAAAAUAAGGAUGCUGACAAACUGAGUGUUGGGAUGGCUGAAUAUAUAGCAAGAGGUUGAUUUGUGAUAAAAUUGGGGUGGGAGUGUGCUUUUGUUUCAGAGAAAAAUGGAGGAGGAAGAAGAAGAAAUGAGAGAAAGCUAGAAAGAGAGGAAGGUCACUCGUUAGGUCAUAAAUUAAAUAUUACAGACAUAUUUAAAUCUAUCAGUAAUUUUGCAUGUAAAAAUAACACGUCAUCGUACUUGACAGCUUUUUUUAUUUUUUCAAUUGUAAUUCCAUCGAUAUAUACUGAAAGAAUAUUUUUAUCAAUAUUUACAGAUAAAUAUGACGAGGGAAUAUUUCGUUGAAAAAUUCCUCACAAUAUAUCUAUGAAAAUAUUCUAUUGAUGUAUCCAUUUAUAUUUAUCAAUUUUAUAGUAGCAGAUAGAAUACUCCCAGGUCAGAGCAAAAAAAACAAAGAAAACAAGAAGAGAUAUACCGAACUAUGUUUUACAUGUAAAAUUCGUAUUCAAUGAGCUUCCAAUCCAUGCAACUAAGAAAUCAAUUAACUAACUAGGGCAAGUAAAUCGUGGUUAGGACCACACUAUAUCAUGCAUGGGUCCUGUUGGGAAGACCAGAGCUAAAGAACUUCAAAAUUUGCGAAGUACUCAUUUUGUUUUUUUACUUUUGCUUUGGAGAAUAGUUACAUGCAUAUAUACUCAUCAUGUUGUUUCCUUCCAGGUUUGCAAGUGGAAAAUCGAAAUCAUGAUCAUAUGAAUCACCAGGCACGCGUGCCUUGUUCAUUUUCAAAUUAUUUCCUACAUUAUUAGUAAAUUAUUUCUAACUUUGAAAGAAAGCUUACUUCCAUUAUAGAACCGUUAAUUAAUCCAUAACUACCUUUGUUCUGAACAACCAAAUUCUUAAAUGAUUAGAUCGCAAUUAAUUAAUUAUGAUUCAUAAUAAAAAUAAGGUUAGUUACCAAUGUAAUUCGUUAUUAUUUUACUUUUCUCAUCUAAAUCUAAAUCACUGGAUUAAAAAAAUAUUAAUGAUGACAUUUGAAACAUAACAUAUUAUAUUUUUUUUUAAAUAUGCUUUUUUUUUCUUACAGUACGGCUAUCUUGUCCUCUAUGGGUGACGAGCUAGGUUUAUAGCCUCGUGGAUCUAUGUAUCAUAUGGUGAUGAUAAAUAUACAUACAUAGGAGGCUUAUAGGUAGGAAGUUGUUAACCGGCCGUUAAUGGAAAGCUCUCCUGUCCUGUCCCUGCAUGAAAGAAUCUUCCAUUAAUUAGUUAAUCAGAAAAUCGAAGGCCGCAACAAAAACUUCUUCAGACCUUCGAUUGCCCUUCGUCGAAUAAACAAUUAAACAAGAGGAAAAUCUAACAGCUGAUCAUUUUUCACGCUUCCGAUCUUCUGAACUUCAGGGCAGGCACACGUGCCAAAGAGCGUAAGAAAUGGGCAGUCAAACUACUAUCAUUUUCAAGAUUUUUCAAGGUCAACUAGUGGUCAUGUAAUGGAAACUAUAUUUUUUUAAAAUUUGAAUAUUUUUAUAUAUUUUCAAAAUAAAAUAAAAUCUUGGUGGGUGCCUUUGGCAAAUUUCGAAGAAACAUUGAAGCACCCCUGUUUACCGUAGUAGUAUACGUGUUAAUUUCUAGCUUGUAACCCCAUGCAGUCAUGACUCUUAAUAUACUCGGUUAUUUAUAAAAUCCAAUUAUAGUUCAGAAUCAUUUGUACAUGUUACUUUGAUCUUUUGAUAAUUAAAUUAUUUCAAAAAAUAAAAAUCUCUAUUAAUAAAUAAAAAAAACUAAGGUCCUAGGAUGUAAAGAUUAAGGUAUUUAUGAGAAAAUAUAUGUAUAUAAAUAAAACUUACUAUCCACAAGGUAACUAGCUAGGUUAUAAAGUACAGCCAGUUCAUAGAAUUCAAAAAAUGCAUUAAAUACACAAACCAAAGCAAUAAAAUAACCAAACUUAAGAUUCAAAAAAACAACACACCAGAACAAGAACCAUCCAAGCUUCUUCUACCUCUGCAUGCAAAGACUGAACUCUCUUAACUCUUCUCACUCUCUCAUUGAGAUCUUCACCAUUUGGAAUUGGAACCUACCUCCCUCUUUCUUUCACUUCACCUGAGAGCUCCCUAUAUAACCCCCCACCAUCCCUCUGUAAGUUCUUAGUGUCUGCACUGCUAAAAAGCUGUCGUCUCAUAGCUGGUGAAUUUAUGCAACCUUCCUAGCAUUUCCCUCUUUAAAUCCCUCUUUGUCUCUUCUUGCAGCCUUUUCUCUGUAUCUGCCUCCCAUCAUUUACUUCAGUACUGUUUAAGCUUUAAAUCUAGCUAGCUUGAUCAUUUAAUUUUCUCAACUUAUAAUUAAUUCUCAAUCGACAAUGGCCUCUAGCUCUUCUUCUUCUAAGCAAAAAUCAUUUUCGAUUGAAAGAUCAAAACCCUUGAUGCUCAAAGAUUAUCUUCUUGAUGAUCAAAGUUCAUGCUCAUCCAACGGCUUCAAGUCAUUUCCUCGUCGUCGAUGCUGCACAACCGUCCGACUUCUCCUCGAAAUAGACCUCAAAACCAAGCAGCAGCAGCAACCAAGGCAGCUUUUCAAAAGAAGUAAAUCAAAAGCAGCUUCUACUACGAUCUCAGCUCUUCAAAAAGCAUCGGUUGCCGUUAUGAAGGCCGUUAAACUACUCCCAUUUCCCUCACCCAACUCCACCGUGAGGUCUCCGUCACCGUCAAGAACCAGGAAGGGACUUUUACCUCGAAGUCUUUCACGGAAGCUGUUUAAGAAGAACUUUUGGAGAAAAACAGCUGAUCAACAUGGUCAAUGUAAAGAAAGAAAUGAGAUCAGAGGAUGGAGAUUGUUCGGUGAGUUCUUGGAGGAACAAGAUAAACUGUCCGAUCAAAUUACAAGCGGAAUUUCAACAAGCUCCAGCAGUAACAGUAACAGUAACUGUAACAUUUGGACUACUGAGAGUGAAUAUACUGUUGACAGUGGUAAUUCUACGUGUAACAGUUGCCGAAACGACUCCGUUUGCAAUAGAAAAGAUUUAAUGAUCAAGGAAGUCAGCGACAGAGUGAGCGUAUCAGGCGGUCAGGAUUCCAUCACAAACAGGAAGGUUAGUGAGAAAAGUUUGUCUUUAAUGUUUCGAGUGUACAAUUGUCUGCCGGUGGAUUUCUCUUAUAAUUGGCUGGUAACGGUAUUGGUGGUUUUGCUAAUCUCCAAUAAAAAACUGACACGAGUUUAACUCCUAUAAUCUCUUUAAAAUCGAGUCAAGAAAAUGUGAUUUCGUGCAGCAUUUUAAUUCCAUGCGCGUAGUUUAUUUCUGGACUGGAAAUUUGAGUCUGCAAUCAGAAUCAAGAAGUAGAGUCAAUCUUAAGGCGUCAAGACUAACUUGAAAAUGCCCUAAAAAAAAACCCUAAAAAAAGGGAUUUGAAGGGGUUGUUAGAGAGUCAUAUAAAUAUGAUAAAUGGGGGUUUUUGGCAUUUUCAUGUGGGCUUUUAUUGGGAAUUGGAUACGGUGCAUCUCGGGACCUUGGAAUUAAAUACCAUGGAGUGCUUCGAGGCCUACGAUCCCGCUGCAUGAUGUCUAUUUUGCGGCAUCUACGGCGAUGAAAUGAGAUGGAGUAUUUAGGCUUCUUCAUGGUAUAUAGUUUAUCAAUUUAUUUAUUUUUUUACUAUUAUUUGGCAUGGGUAUUUUGAAAUUUAGUUAUUAGGUGCGACCCAAUUGCAUAACUUUUUCUGUCGGUGACAUGGAGUUUUGGUAGGCUACUUGGAGAAUAAUGCAGAGAUUGAUUUUUUUUUUUUUUUUGAUAAAGAAUGUAGAGAUAGAAUUUGGUGGGGUUGUAGAUGGACACUUAUGAAUUUUAGGAAAGUAUUAAUCUACGCUAACAAUUGGGAUUAUGAAAAUUAAUUGAAUAGCUGGACAGAUGUCUUGCUGUUAUCUUGCGGUGGGUUGACUUAGCCAACUCACCCAGUCUUGGGAUUUACCAUUCUGGCAACAAUUGUUUCUUUAUCCUUUUGUCUUGAAAAGACAAUGAUUGAUCGAUUUUAGCAAAAUUACAUAGUAUGGUGUUAUAAAAAUAAUAGAUUAUAUUAUAUGCUGUGUUAAGGCAUCUUUAUCCAAAUCAAAUUUAUUUGUGUUUUGGUUAAUAUUUUCCACUCGUUGUUUUUUUGUAGUUUUCAGAUAUUUUAGAGUAUAGUAAAUAUUGCUUUUUAAAAUUAUAUCAAAUCAAAUCAAAUUGAAUUAUCCAAGUGUCGUGGACAAUAAUGGUCAUGUGACAUUGUUUUUUUUGUUGCUUUCAAAAUUAUAUCAAAUCAAAUCAAAUUAAAUUAAAUUAUUGAGAAUAGGGAAUUGAAAUGGGGCAUCCAAUUUUAUGAUGGACUUUGGAUAUGUACCAACUGCAUUAUUUAUUGUAAUAAUCGUGUCUGUCUCCAGAGACCUUUUUCCUGGUUACUUUUUAAUUUCUAUCGUAGAGGUGCUUGCUACUUUCAUGCAUUAAUACUUAAUAAUAGCUCAUGUAAUGCAACAGGAGUGGCCAAAUGAGGAGGAGAAGGAGCAAUCCAGUCCAGUGUCAAUUCUGGACUGUCCAUUCCAGGAUGAAGAAGAAGAUAUUGGCUCUCCUUUCCAACGUAGUCUUAUCCGCGUGGAAGGUAUCCUUCUCUCCAUCUCUUUACAACUCCCUCCCUCUCUCUCUCUCUCUCUCUCUCUCUCUCUCUCUCACACACACACACACACACACAGUUUCCACACUUCAUGAAAAUUUUGAUAAAGAGUGGUGAUUUUGCGAUUAAGUGACCUGCUAGACAGGAAAGUAGUUGCCUCUUCCAUGAAAACUUAUAAUGCAACUAGAGCCAAGUUAUGGGCCCUUGAAAUAGGGUCCAGAGAGGAGCUCCAAUAGGAUGGGACCGAGCUAUAUUAACCCACACUCGUACAUAGCUACGUUGUGUAGACGAACUAAGAUCAUAUGAUUAUCCAAGCAACUUUUUCUUGAGAGAGGAUUUUGAAAUAAACUCAUUCUGUUCGAUUUGGGUAAGACUAGUAACUAUUUGAUGUUAUGGUUUACCCGGUGGGAUUCAUAUUUUAACAAGAUUUUGAAAUAUGUGAUCAACUGCAGGAACUAAACAAAAGCUUAUGCAAAAGAUCAGAAGGUUUGAGAGCCUCGCUCAACUAGACCCUUUAGACUUGGAAAAGCGAAUUGCAAUGGCAGAGUUGGAGGAUGAAUCCCUUGAAUCCCCCGUGCAACAUUGUUCAGUGUCUAUCCACAGUGAUAACGACAACGAUUUCAAGGAAACUAAAGAAAAUGGAACCGAAAAGCAAGCACAGGAGCUACUUAAGCAUGUCAAAUCGACAAUAAGCUUGGCGUCUAAGGUAGAUAGUCUAUUGCUGGACUUCUUCAAGGAGAAAAUUGUAGAAAAUUAUGCAGGUGGAAGCAUGGUUGGAUCAUAUAAAGAAUUUGAGCAAGAGCUAAGGGUAGCUCAGGAAUGGAUUGAUGGGCAGCCUAAAGAAAUGUUUUUGGGGUGGGAGAUGGUGGAGAGGAGGCAUGUCUACGUCAAGCAUAUGGAGAAGAGUGGGAAGUGGGAAAAUGUGGAUCAAGGAAAAGAAGAGGUUGCUCUAGAAUUGGAAGCUGAGGUUUUCAAUUCCUUGGUGGACGAAGUCUUACUUGAUUAUGUUCUGCUUAAUUAAUGUUAUUAGUAGACUGUUUAAAUUAAGUCCAUUUGUUAAUUAUUGGAUCACUCAAGGUUGUUUCACUCAUUUGGAAGCAGGGCAAUGGAGAAAAAUAAAACUCGCACAAAUUUUAAAAUUUGUGGAAUGAUACCAAGUUCUUCGUCGAGUUUCCUCGGGUUUUUGUCUCUUCAAUCAUAUACUUCCUCGUGGCUAAACAUAAUUUCGUGCCUGCGCCUGACCGUGGCUAUCUCAAAACUUUUGUUUAUCAGCUAUUUGACAUUGCGAGGCCCUUAUGUUACUAACUCUUAGCUUAGAAAUAUAGAUUUCUUUUCUUCUCUUUAACCGAAAACGAGACAAAUUAACAUUAUAAAAAAAAAAAAGUAAAAUCCUGUGGAUUGAAGUCUAUACCCUUCUUGAUAAAACUAAAAUUUGUUGCUUUUGAGCGUAUUUUUAUCUUUUCAUGGGUUCACUUGGCAAUGCAAAAUUAAUUGGGGGCAGAUUACUCUUCAUAUAUUUUUUAUACAGUGUAAUGAUAUUUUGAUCCCUGAAAAAAAAAAAAGAGACAUAUAUCUAUCAUUUGAUGGUAUUUUUGACGUUUCAGAUUCAAUUACACAGUGAAUUAUCAAACUUACCCUGAAAAAAAAAAAAAAGACAAGAGUGCAAGGGUAUUUAUGUAUUUUCCUUUUAAUUUUUGGAUAAUUAUCGAAUUGAGGGAGUGGUUGUUGUGUCUUUUACUGGUUAUAUAAUAUUAUUUAAAUAAUUAAUCUAGAGGCGUGUGGGGUCCAACAAAUUUAUAGCAGCGUGUGUGGCUAAUUUACAAGGCCAAAAUGUGGCUUUCAAGGCGGCAAUGGAAUCCUCCCAACGGUCCCUACUUGACUAGGAUCGCGUCAAUGACCGUUUCUUUUCUCUCUCCUUUCUCUCUCAUCCUACAAAAGCGUGUUGUUUCUAAAAAAAAAUCAAUGCAACCCUUUAAUUAGUUUUAUCUUCAGAUUUGGUCCUUGAUCUUUUGAUCACUAUUUGUUUUAUUUGAAAUAAUUUUAAAAAAAUAAAUUUGUUUUCAAUUUCAUAUCUCGUGGAUUUUUUUAUCUUUUAAAUUUGAUCCUUAAAAGACUCAAUGCGACACUUCAAUUAGUUUUUUUUUUUCAUAUUUGGUCCAUGGUCUUUUGAUUAUAAUUUUUUUAUUUGAAAUAAUUUAUAAUUUUUCAUUUUCACCCCAUAGGUUUUUUCAUAUGUUUAAUUUGGUCCCAAUUAUUUUAAUUUCUAUUUAUUUGAUUUCAAAUGGUUUAUAUAAUUAGUUUGUUUUUCGAUUUCAUCUUCCUUGUGUAUUUUUUCCUAUUGAAUUUUUUAACUUUUAAAUUUUUUUAGUUUGAUUUUAUUUUGUGAAAUUAUCCUUCAAUAUUAAAUUUGUUGGGUGUUUACCUUCUUAAUUAAUCUCGAAUCUAGAGCUUAACGGGUUGCAAGUAUGAGAUAUGAAUUUAGGGUUAGGAGGUUCGCCCGAGCUUGUUUGGUUUUUUUCAAUUCUUUUUUUUUAUUUCAUCAUCCGGUUUUUUUUCCACUUUUAAUGGGAUUUUUUUGAAUUUUUAGUAAUAACAUGGGUUGCCUUGUUUUUUGUCUUUGCUAGAUCUAGCACUUUUAAAAUGAUUUUUUAAUUAGAUUAAAUUUAUUUAUUUCAACUUUCGACAUUAAAUUGGUCUCGUAUUGCAUUGGGUUUUUUUAUGUUUUUGUUAAAUCUUGCUCUUUUAAAAGUUAUUAUUUUUUUUGUUUGAUAUUUGAGGUUUGAUCCUCAAUGUUUUGAUUUUUAAUUAUGAUUCUUAGCCAUUUUAUCAAAUUUUAAUUUGUUUUCAAUUUCAUCAUUGGAUUCAUAAUCUUAAAAUUUUUCAAUUUCAUCAUCCGGGUUUCUUGGUAUAAUUUUUUUAGAUUUAUUUUGUUUGAUUGAUUUUUUUUUCUGAUUUUAUCCUUCAAUAUUUCGAUUCUUGAAGAUUGACAAUCGUUAUUUUUUUCAGUUCUCUUUCUAUGAUAUAAAGUCAUUAUUUUUUUAUGUUUCUUAAAAUACACUUAUAAUGCUUAAGCAUUAUUUUUUUUUACACUUUCAAAAAAUCAACCCGGCCCGCAACGCAACGGGCAAGCUAUAUAGUAAUAACUAAAUGACGUGAGGUCGGUUUCACUAUUUAUAUGAACAAUGAACUUGGUGAUUAUUUUUUCAUUCAAUCAUACUCAUCUAUAACCUAAUUAUAUAAAAAACAGGGUUCAAAUCAUGUUCAAAAUAUAAAAUUUAAAGAUAGAGGACUAAUAUAUUAAACACGGAGAAAAUAAAUAGCUAACAGCAAAUUAGUGACAAUCUUAUUUUAAUUCAAAAGUUUAUUUUUUUAUUUUUUAAUUCUUGAUUUACAGUAUAUCUCAUAAACUCGCUUAAAAAAAAAAGUUUAACAUUGCUUUUAGCCAUAAAAAUGCCAAUGUUACCGUCAAAGAUUACAAUAGAUGAAAAGAAUUCCUUUAACUUGCCUUAAACGGUAGGUAUGGGUUCAGGGAAUUUUUUUUAAUUCUAGUGAUUUUUAGAUUAUUUGAUGCCAUAAAUAAGUUUUUUUUAAAAAAAAAAAAGUCUUAUCCUGCCCAUGGCAAAACCACAACCAAUCAUGUAGCAAUCCUCUAAUUAUGCAUAAGGCUGUCAGAAAUCGUUGUCUUUUGUAUUCAGGCUCAGCUGAAAUUGCUCGGAAGUUUACAUUGAUGGCGGUCGUUUCAACUUUACAAGCUACAAUAUCAAGAAAGCUUAACACGAAACAUCUAGGUGGUCAUCGAAUCUUGUGGUUGUUUAUAUGAUGAUUAUUAAAAGCUUACAUGGUCGUUAACUUCAGAGCUCGUGGGAUUAGUUGAGGUGCGCGCAAGCUAACCCAGACACCCACGUUAAACUAAAAAAAAAAAAAACUUAACACGUAGUCGCACAAAAAUAAUAAUAAAAAAAAACAAAAAAAAACCCGAGUAGCAGGCUUGCAGGUGUCAUAAUUACAAGCUAGUUGGGCCUAGGCAAUUGAUUGAUGGCAAAGAUCAACAGCAGUUUUUGCUAUGGCUUGUUGGGAAAUACCCAUACGGGCCUGACCCAUCAAAGUCUAAGCCUUGUUUUUUUUUUACUCAUUUUCAUUAAUUCUUUCCAUUUAAAUAUUGGUUUUUUUACAAUUUUUUUUAGUUCAUUGACACGAUAUUAGUUUGAUUUGUAACAAUUUUAUUAUAUGUUAUAUGAAUUAAUAUUUUAUAAGGUUUGUAUAAAAAUAAAAAUCAUUAGUAACAACAUUUAGCCACCAAGAUAAAAUGAAUAAAAAUGCUUAAAAUAGAAAUGAUAGUCAGGGUAAAAUAUUUAUUUUUUAUUUUUUUUUUAUUUUUAUAUGAAAAUUAACUUCCCGGUUUAAUAAAUUAUCAUUAACACCUCUUUUUUCAAAAAGUAAUCACACCCCACUCGGCCAUGUGAAAUAAACCGAGAAAAUGAUAGUUUUUUUAAUCAUUUCAUAUAAUUUUCUGGAUUUAAUUUACGAGACUAGCAUUGUCUAGUGAUAAUAAAAUUUCAUGUAUUUUUUAAUUUAUUUUAUAAAUUAUAAACAACACUUUCUUGUUUCUCAAUUUAAAAGAAUACAUGAAAACAUGUUCAUAUUGCAUUUUUUUCACAUUAGAAAUUGAUUUAAAAUGCUACCAGCAAUGUAAGCAAUAUGUUUGGAUGUUUGAAUUAAAAAAUAUAUUUUUUAAAAUACACCCAUAAUAUUACGUAUUAUUUUAUUAUAUUUAAAAUUAAUUUGGUGAUAAAACCAGUUUUGAACUGCAAGGUCAGAGAUACCCUUCCUCUUGAAGCUAAAAAAAUUUUUUAUUCAAAUUUCUUAUUUUCCAGCUCUUAAAUCUGGAGUCGUGUCAAAAUAUUCACACUGAAAGAUUAAAAUUUGAGAAGACUAGUCAACACAAGUCUCUCGAGGCAGUAACGUUGAAGUGGAUAUAGAGGGAGGGCAGCCCAAUAGACCCGUCCCGAUGGCGUUCAAAUUCAUGCAUCAACCUAGACAGCGACAGCUUUUGAAACACACACAAGGAAGCACACUCCACUCGGCCACCUCUGCUUCCCUUUUGAAACAAACCUGUUCUGUUCGUGGAGGAAGAAAAUUAGGCGUGGAAUUAGAGAUAAAGGGGGUAAUCAGCUCUGGAUGGCAUAUCCUAGUUUUGACAAGUCAGCGUCCAAAAUUAUAUAUUCUCUUUGUACACGGAACAGGUCCAGGUUGCCGACAGGUAUUUCAAUAUCUCGCCGCAUUUCCCGUGCAUUAUUGGCUACUAGUUAAUAAACCCACAAGCGAUAAAUUGUGGAUUAAAGACCUAGUCACCGAUUAGUUACUAAAUGGUUGAAUUGUAUUUUUAAUUUUAAAUUAAUAUUUUUUUAAGUAUUUCUUGAUUGCUUUGAUAUGUUGGUGUAAAAAAUUAAAAAAUAUUAUUUUAAUGUAAUUUUAAGAUAAAACCAUUUUAAAAAACAUUUCCUAUCAUUCUACCACCGAAUAUGCUCUUAAAGCUAUGAUUUGUGUUGCUGAUCCUUAUAGAACACUGUUUCUUUAAUCUAUACCUUGUCUUUUUGGCAGGCUAUAAUUUAUAAAAAAGAAAUUCCAAAUCCUCAUGAAAAAUUAUGUGGUUGAAGAUAAUCAUGAGUCUUUCAUUUCAAUUGUAGUUUCGUUGACCAAUUAACAGGAUUGUCAUGGAAGUCAAUUAAACAGCCAAGCGGUUUGUUUGUUGUUCUAAUAUAAUCCGAGUUGUUGAUUAUCAGAUUUGUCGUUUUGUUUUCCCAUAAACCUAAUUGAAUAAGUUAAGGAUCCUGGUUAGGUAGUCUUAAUUCGUUUCAGUGACGGUUUCGUGUAAUAAAUAUUGUUUUUUAAAUUGUUUUUUUUAUAUAUUAUUUUUAAUAUCAGCAUAUUCAAAAAAUAUUAAAAUACAAAAUAAUAAUUUAAAACUAAAAAAAUUCAAUAAUUUCUUGAAAUAUGGCUAAAAAAACCUUUAAUAUAAACAAACAAUUUAAUCAUGGGCAGGAAUAAUUUAAGCGGGUGAAAUAACUUUUUUAAGCGAUGUGGGAUGAUUUACAUCGAUUGAGCUGUAGCUAAGGCACCGUAGGUCAAGGAGUGGUGUGGUGUAUGCUAAAAAAGAAAUUGUAAAGAAUAUCCCGAGUUUGCACUUUGCAAUGUGGAUGGAGGUUGAAAUUAAAAAUAAAAAUCAAAAGUCAAAUAAUAAACUAAUAAAACACACUGUAGGCAGCCAGGGUACCAUCUCAUUCGAGCUGGAAUUAGAGUAUUCUAAACAUUCAACUCACAACUUUAUGGUGCAAAUGGUAUGUGGGAUAAUGAAGCCUCUCACAACUGAUUUGAUUAAGAGAGAGAAUUUUUUGUUCGGUUUAAUUUUAUAUUGAAAUGAAGCCUCUCACAACUGAUUUUUUGUUCGGUUUAAUUCUAAGAAAGUAAUGGAUUGUUACGCAUAAUAAUCAUGUGAAUGCUGAAAAGAUUUAACAACUAAAUUGAAUAUAUAACAAAGUUUAAUUAAGUACUUUGUUGAAGUUUUUGAAAGAUAAAGAUUGAACUAAACUAUCGUCUUCAACUCAAUCUUGCUACUAAUCUUGCUACUAUUAUUAUCAAAUAAUCAUCUUAACCCAACAACUUAAGCUAUUAGGUGAGGUCUUAGAAUAUAACACAUCCCCUCAAAUAAAAAUCUUUUGGGCUUAAAACUUGUACAUGCUUAUAUUAUCUUAUGCUUGAUUUUUAUCAAAUAAAUGGAGAUGGUGAGAUUCGAACUCGUGACUACUUGGUCAUCAAGACUCUGAUACCAUGUCAAAGAACUAUCCCAACUCAAUAGCUUAAACUAUUACAGAAUAUAUAAUUUAUAUUAUUCUCUAGCAGUAAUUGCCCACCAUCUUCCCUUUUUAGCCAUAAAUAAUCUUAAAAAACCACGAAACACUUCUCUUGGACUAAAAAAAAUAUAUAAAUUUUAAAAUCCAUUUUAAAUAACCAAUAAAAAAACUAAUUUGAAAUUUAUCAAUGAGAUUUUUUUUUUUAAAGCUAGCUUUUGCAUCCAUGGUUUUUUUUUUGUUUCCAUAAGAUAUUGGAUUUACUUUUUUAAAAAUGUCAGCUAGCCUAACCAUUAAAUAUAUAAAAAAAUAUUGAAAUGAAAUUCAGAUCUGAUAUGUUCCUUUAAAAAAAUAUGUUACUUUUUAAAAUUUAUAAUUAUAUACUUUUUGUUUAACUGGCUUGGUUUAAUUAGUUUUAGCUUUUUGAAAUUAAAACCGAACCAAACAUGAAUAUGAUAAUUACAAAAAAAAAUCAUCGUAAAAAACCAAAAACACUGCUUGUUCUUCAAUUUAAUUUUUUUUAUUUUAAGGAUACUUUUUUGUUUUACUGUGCAUUUUUUUACUUUGUCAAAUAUCAAAUUGCUUCUAUCACAGUGAAAAUACUAAAAUAUCCUUUAAUAUCAGGUUUUUAUUUUUUUAUUUUCAUAGGUAUUUGGAUUUUUUCACCAUGCAAUGAAAAUAAAAAAAAUAAUAACAAUAAAUCUGCAGCUAUUGCAAAGAUGUUUAGUUUUUUUAAUAGGUAAAAUUGUAACCAUGCAAUUUAUAAAUUAUCCAUACAAAAAUAACAAGAAGAAGAAAUGGUGCCGGUCCAACCCAACCCUUUUGUUACCACCAAAUCUUGUCGCGAGAAAACGUUACAUGGAAUUUGAUAUCUUUAAGUGCUCAUUCAAGGCUCUUUAGUCCCCUCAGCAACAAAAAAUUUCUCUUUCAUCUCUCUUCCUAGCUACUUCCCUCCCUCUUAAAACCCUCUCUCUCUCAACCUCCAUUACCACCCAAACUAUACUCUAUCACGCUAGACAGAGGGAGAGGUUUUACGAGGUUUUUAAACAGCACCCUUUUGAUACAUCUCUUCUUUGAAUCAAUAACCAAACCAGUUUCCCUUCCAUCUAUUUUUUUUUGGUCAAUUACACUCACAUGCACCGUUAACACAAGCAAGCAACCCGUUGUAGAUAUACACCCUUUUGUACCUUUUUUUUACUGGGUUUGCAGUGUUGAAUUGAACAAUGAAGGGCGAGGAUCAAGCGAGGUCUUUGUUUGGGAUUUCUUUAUCCGAUCGGCCUAAAUGGCAACAGUUUCUUAUUUGCUCUUCUGGGUUCUUCUUUGGCUAUCUCAUUAAUGGCGUCUGCGAGGUUUGUUUUUGACCUUUAUCACUGUUUAUCGUCUUGGGAUUUUUUAUAAAGUGUGGAGAUGUUGUUUGUUUCUUUUUUUCACUUCGAUGGCCAAUUGUUCUUGUUUUUCUUUUCUUUUUGGUGUAAUUGGUUAAAUUGUUAUGUUGUGAGCAUCGAUUUAUUUCUAAGGUUUUUGCUAUACUCUGUUCGAUUGCUGAGAUUGAAACUAACGGAAAGCAAAGCUUUUUAGAUCUUGGAUUUAAUCGAUGACAAAGUCUCAUGAUUUUUGUUUUCUCUGCAACCAAACAGAGGUGGCCGUGUGCGUUUUAAUUUUUUGUUUUUUAAAGUUUACCAAGUCAACUGUCUUCUUAUGGUCAUUAUUUUGCUAAAAAGAUUUUUCUAAAAAGAUUUUUCUUUUCUGGGUGUUCCUUGUAUACUGUUUUAUUCGUUUUGACCUUAAAUUAUGAAAAUCGAAUAUUACAAUAUUGGUAAAUUUCUGGUUGGUUUUUGUUUGCUUCUCAUUUUUGAACCUUUGAUCUGAUCAUUGACAUUUCGCAUCUUUCAUUGGCUAAUUCCAGGAAUAUGUGUAUAAUCGGCUUCAAUUCAGGUACAUCACCACCGAUAGUAUUUUCUAGUUUUGUUCUGUCAUGUAGUAAUUCUCAUGCAUGUUUGUUUAUUCUUUUGAGUUUUCAGCUAUGGUUGGUAUUUCACAUUUGUACAAGGAUUUGUGUACUUGGUGCUUAUAUACUUGCAGGGUUUUACCCCUAAGCAAAUGGUGAAUCCAUGGAAAACUUAUUGGAAACUCUCUGCUGUUCUUAUGGGUUCUCAUGGGCUGACUAAGGGGUCCCUGGCCUUUCUCAAUUAUCCAGCUCAAAUCAUGUUCAAAUCCACCAAGGUAAACUCAGUUCUUAUCAACCUCUUCUUCUUUAAACUUAUAUUCAUGUCUUCUAAUCUGAUGUCUCGGUCGUGAAAGGUUUUGUUCUUUUUUUAAAAAGAUUUAUGUACAUAUGGAAGUAAUAUUUAAUUGAACUUAUGUUGCUUGCAUUUGAAUACGUGGAAAUCUUGAAGAAAUUUAAGAUGGAUCUUGUCUCUUAUUCUGUAAUUUGUGAGUUUUGGUGAUUUUGAGAAUCUAGGUACUGCCAGUUAUGGUAAUGGGCGCCUUUAUUCCAGGAUUGAGAAGAAAAUAUCCAUUUCAUGAAUACAUAUCAGCCCUGCUUCUGGUCAUCGGUCUGAUCCUUUUCACCUUGGCAGAUGCCCAAACAUCGCCAAAUUUUAGCAUAAUUGGUGUCCUGAUGAUUUCUGGUGCUUUAAUUAUGGAUUCUUUAAUGGGUAAUUUGCAAGAAGCAAUAUUUACCAUGAAUCCUGACACCACUCAGGUGAUCUCAAUAUUCUGUUGGUACAUAAAUGCAAAAUUGAUUUGGCAAAAAAUAGUAUCCCAUUAGGCUUUUUUUUUUCCUUGACAGAUCGAGGUGCUGUUCUGCUCGACAGUUGUUGGAUUGCCUUUCUUGCUUCCUCCGAUGAUCCUGACUGGAGAGCUGUUUAAGGCUUGGAAAUCUUGUGCUCAAGUAAAGACCUAUGCUCUUACAAGUUUUUGUCAUCUUGCAUGCACUUAUGAAUUGAUUUUAAAAGAAAUCCUUCGUGUACAUGUGGGGCUACAAUGAAAAUGGUUGGGGUCAAGUUACACUUAACGUGCCGGGUAUGCACAAUCGAAGGAAGUUCCUAGGAGAAAUCAAUGAUUUAGUGGUUGAAAGUCCACUUCAUUUAUUUAAAUGAUGAAUACCGUCCCCCCUGACGUAGUCAAACCUCUAGUGGGGUUAUUUUCUAACAAGCUUCUCUACUGGGGACAUAACUUGCUUUAAAAAAUUAGGAAUUCUGUACUAAAGUAUUGAUAAGGGGGGAGUGAAAUACUUAUUGAUUGACAAGUAAAGAAUUUAUGUUACCAAGAAGUUUGUUUGGUUUCAGGGAAGACAGUUCAUGAGUUCUUUUCUGGUCAAUUGAACAUAAAAACAGAUUUAAGAUUUUUGUUACUCCAGUUACUUGUUCUCCUGGUAUAACGUAUUUAAAAUAAAUGAUCUACUAUCAGAAAUCCAGAUUGUCACUGCCUUAAAUGUCUAAUAUUAUUCCUUUUGAUGAUUACUACAAAUUUUAUUUCUAUUGCCAAGAUCCUUUGAUCAUUGCUGCUUUAUGUAUUGCAGCAUCCUUACGUGUAUGGGGUGUUAGUAUUUGAAGCCAUGGCCACAUUCAUUGGCCAAAUUUCUGUUCUAUCCCUCAUUGCCAUUUUUGGGGCUGCUACGACUGCCAUGGUAGGUCUAUUUUUCUCCCCUCUGGAUAGCUGUAAACCCUGCAUUUUGUUCCCGACUUCAACAUGUCUUGUAUCGGAAUAUUUCACUUGGAAGCCUAAUGGGGGAUUCAAUAGCUUUUUAAACAAGAUUCAAAAUGAGCUAAUCGGAAAUAUUUCCACCAUCUUAUUAUAGGAUCAUGUUUUAGCGUUCUACAUGAUAUAUCUAACUGUUGGGUUCUGAUUUGUACUGGCAUGCAGAUAACAACUGCUAGAAAGGCAGUUACCUUGUUGCUGUCAUAUAUGAUAUUCACAAAGCCAUUAACUGAGCAGCAUGGAUCAGGGCUGCUGCUCAUCGCCAUGGGAAUUAUAUUGAAGAUGGUUCCUAUAGAUUAUAAACCCCCCAGUAGGAGUGCACCUAGAAAUGGGAAGUCCCAUUUUAAAGAAGAGAAAAGUCAAGCAGAUAGUAGGAAAGGUGAAGGAGAUGAAGAAAAAAGGCCCUUAGUUUGAAGACCAAGGUCAUAGAUUUUUUUGUUCUUAUUUGUAAUUUUUUCCUCGAAUUUGUUCUUGGUUUCUCAUUAAACCCAGGAAGGGCAUGGGGGAUAGGAAUAAGAAAAGUAUAUCAGGUCAGGAAAGAAAAGAGAGAAUAGACAUGCUAGCUACUUGUAAUGUAAAAUUUCAGUGGUGAAACUGAUUUACCUUUCUAUGUUUUUGAAAUUGAAAUACAAGAGCAAUGUUCUCUUUCUUUUUGUGGCUCGAUAUGGCAUGCCCUCUUGCAUAGUUUGAUGUUUAAUACAGAAAUAUAUGGAGAUUAAAGAGAUGGUUGCCUCCACAUGUGAACUUGUCUCAAAACCAUUUUGAAGCCAAUGUCAACUGGUAGGGCAACCGCUCCUCGGCAGCUAAUGGUUGAUGUCGAGGAUCCUCCUCGUAAUGGCUGGCAAUUUGUUCCAUGGAAGUUUCAAAUACAGAGACACAGAAGUGGCCCAUCGAAUGAUCGAAUGCCCCGAGGAGCGACAUCCCAUCCCAUCGUUCUCCUGAUUUUUGUCAAGAAAGUGUGUUGCUGCUCCACGCAAAUUAUUAAUCGAAGUUAUUAUAGUGAUGUGUUAGCAUGAAAGCAUGGUUUCUCUGCCUCGAGAAAUUUUAUCAUCAUGGAUAUAUUUAGAUUAGCUUUUGUCAGCUCAAUUAAAUACUUUCCUCGUCUCAUUUAGGCAUACCAACCGCCUUGAACUGUUUUCAAGGAUUAUUUUUAUUUUUAUUUUUAUUUUUUCACAAACUUCCCUCCAGUUGGAAUCCGAAAUGGAACAAUGUAGGAAAAAUCUCAAUUUAGUCCCAAACCUAUAAAACUUAUCAAUUAGGUCUUACAUUUAUCGCUUGUGUCCUUUUGUCAAUUUAUUUUAAUAAUUUAAGUCUAAUUGCAUAUUUUAUGCUCUAAAAUGAUUUUCCAUCGACAUUAAACUUUUAUGUCAAAUGUGCUUAUUUAUGCACUAAAAUGGCAUAAUUUGAAAAAAAAAUAAAAACAAGUAUUUAUGAGCACUAAUAAAAAGACUUGAUCGAUAAUUUUUGAGAUGUAAAUGAAAAAAUCUAUAAAUUCAAGACUCAAUUGAAAAUGAGUAUAAACUUGGGACUAAAUUGAGGUUUUUAAGAUAAUUUAUAUUCACAAGCCUUAUUAAAUCAAUCAGUUUCAGUUCUGCUCUCAAGAACUUUAUUCCCCCCCCUAAUUUCAUAGGCUCAAAGCCUAUCCGAUAAGCUGGUAAAAUUUGUAAAUAUUUACAAAUUUUAGAAUUUUAAUAUAUUAAUAUAAAAUAUAAUUUUAUUUCAAAAAAAUUAAAUAAAAUAUUUUAAAAAACAACAAAAAAACAAAAAUUAAUUCCUUCAGCAAACUGUAAUGGUGGGGGCAUAAAAUAGCACGAUGCACAUGGGCCAUGUGCCUACAAUAUCCAACGGCCCCAGUUGAAAUUUAGUUCCCCACGUGAUCAGACGGUCACAAUCACCUCACUUUUUUAUUAAAUUAAUCUCCAAAUUUUGAAAAAGAUAGCAUCAUCAUUCAUCACCAUUAACCAAAAGCCCCAAAAAGAAAAUUGAAAAAUAAUUCAAAAGCAAGAAAAACCCUAUUUUGGUUCCCUUUCUCUCCUUGCAGCUUUUCAAGAAAAGAAGAAAUCAUGAAAGGAGCGAAACGAUUUGCCGCUUCAGACCCAGUCCCUGACUCGAAUGACACGGCAGUGAGUUUCUUAAAGAAAACCCUAAUUUUAUUCUACUUGAAUGUCUUGUUUACUUGAUAAAGGAUAUGCUUAUUUGUGCUUUUAGAAAAAAAAAACAUUUCUGUAGUUCUGCUUUGGUUUUGUAAUAAUGAAGUUUGGAUUUUGAAUUGCGGGCUGUAGCUUAAAUUGGGAUUUUGAAUUUAGUUUUGAGCUUUUGAGGAAUUUAGUGCUUUAAUUGAUAUUUUUUUAAUGAUAAAAUGAAAUUAGAGCUAAAAAUUUAGUUCUUUUUGUUUCUAGACGGUCUAUGUAUUUUAUGUCAAUGCAUUUUAAGGAGCUUUAGUGAGAUUCUUGGUUGCAUUUGUUCGUAUCUUUGAAUUUUUAAUUGAGCUCAUUGUGUAGGCAAAAUCAAAACUACGAUUCCAUAUCAACUUAGUUUUUGUUAUUUUCAAUGCUGGCUUUUGUACUUUUUCAUGGAAAGAAUAAUUUAUUUUACAUCUUUUUGAUAUUGACCUCCAAUCAUAUUUUAGAGGCUGAUUGUGCAACACUCAAUAUGGUUGCAGUUAAGGAAUAAGAGAAUAAUGGAAGGAUCGCUAUUUGAUAUUCAUAGACCUGAACAAUCUCAGCAACAAUCGACUCCAUUGCCACCGUUGGAUGCAAAACGGGCUGCUUCAUCACAGCAGUAUGUGAGAGCUCUCAAUAACCAAUUUGCCAGGUCCAUUUCUUUCUUUGUAUUUGAACAACUUUGCGUCUUCAGUUAUUAUCUGGUCAACUUAGUUUCUGCUUCAAUGAUUAAUUUGGAUGAAGAUGAUGCGUUCUCUUGUUUGUGUAACCCCCCCCCCCCUCCGAAAUUAUAGGCUUAAUUUCUGGGACUUCUUUCAAUUUUGAAUAGUUGGGUUCAAACGCAACUGAAGAACCAUCCUGAUGAACUCUGGGAAGAUGGGAUUCGAGAUUACCUUGCUCAUGCUUCAAACAUUAUGGUAACAUUUAACAUCCUUUAGUAUGCAUUAAAGGGGAUAUGCAUGCACCCAUCUUUAUAUUGUAAAAUGCAUUUAUAAAAGCUUGAUCAUCUCUCUAAUUGCAGGAGAAGUUUAGUGAUGUUGUCAACUGGCUUAAAGCAAAUGCUGUAAAAGGAGGGCCUGUUGCUGAUUCUCUUCGAGCUGAAAAGAAAUUAGUGCCUGAAAUAAAGAGUAAUGAGAGCAAAUUACUUCAAGAAAAAACCGGGUUUGCUUUACCGAGUACCAGUACAAGCUUUACAAGUUCCUGGAGCUCUGGUGUCUUUUCUGCCAACCAAAGUUCUGGAGGAGUAUCAUCUAGUAGCCAAAGCUCUAGUUUAUUCUCCAAUGGUCAAAGUUCUGGUUCAUUAUUAUCGAACAAUCCAAGUUCUGUUUUGUCCUCAAACAACCAAAGCUCUGGAUUUUUCUCGAACAUUCAAAGCCCUGGCCUCUUGUCCAACAACCAAAGCUCUGGAUUUUUCUCGAACAUUCAAAGCCCUGGCCUCUUGUCCAACAAUCAAAGCUCUGGAGCAUUCUCCAACAGCCAGAGUUUAGGAGCACUCUCCAACAGUCAAACACCUUUCUCCUUUAAUCAAAGCUCUGGAACAUUCUCCAACAGCCAAAGUUUAGGAGCACUCCCCAACACUCAAACAUCUUUCUUGUUUGGUAGGUUUUGUACUGCUUUACUUCAAUGCUACACAGGUCAUAAAUUCACACCAGUAGUAGUAAGUCGCUAAGAUGGAUUAUGUGCCAGAGAAAAUGGAAAAAUACAUUAGUGACAUUGGAAAUGUUUGCCAUGCUCAAGUAGGACCUAUAAGUGAGUCUUGGUACUAGUUUGAUCAUCUAGAUGAAGAUAGUCCUUUAAAGGUUACAAAAUUUCUGUGAUAUUGUGAACUGGACUGUGAAAGGUAUUCCCAUAAGACCCACCAGACCUUGCUACAUGCACCUUGGUGUCUAAUGGUGUGGCAAUAUAGUCUAGAGAGUGGGUGAAGGAAAGUCAAUAUGAGUUGACUGUUCACAACUAGAGAGUACUGAAUUCAGAACUCUUGUAGAUGGGAUGUUGACACAACGUAUAGCGUGGAUAGAAGCUCAGGUUCUCAAGCCCUAAGGUUAUACACCCAAGCUGUAGAGAAAUUUAGAGAAAACUCUAAAAUUCUGAAUCUGAAUCUCAAAAUAAACUAGACAUCCCUGUUUAUAUUAGUUAGAUCUAAAAUCCUUUAUCGAAAUGAUUACUAGUUAAAACUUACUUAACUGAUAGAAUACAUUUAGCAUUAGGAUUCCUAAAUAGUAAAACAUUAAUUAAAUUAAAAUUUCUAAUCUAAACAAGAUAAAACAAUCCAAAUACAAGAAAGUAAAUAAAGACAAUCCCGCAUAAUAACUUUUGUGCCUUAUUUGAAGGCCUUUUGGAUCUCCAAUUAUCGUGAACUUUUAACCUAUUAGGGCUUUUAGAAUCUUCUGUUAAAAUUUUAGCUCUGUUAAAAUUUCAACUCAAUCUAAUGGGGAUUAGAAGUUAUGCUUUAUUUACCAAAACUUCGUCUUAGACACUUCUUAAUCUCUCAAAACCUAAAAAUCUUAACUGUUAAUGAAACAAUACUAUAAACAUUAUUAUGCCAAGAAUAUUGAAGAACUCUCCCCCACGUCAGUCGCUUUUACUUUUGAGAAACUCGGCCUCGAGUUAUUUGUCAAGAAUUGAACUUUUCUAUUCCAAAAGAACAAAUACUUUGGAUAUAGUAUUUUAGCAAACAUAUUCACGAAGUAGCGUGUCUUUGACCUGUGAACUUCAAAAUUUAAGUUAUGAUGUGUGCAUGCUAAAGAAAAAUCCAUAUCUAAUGUUAUACUCACUAUUCCUAUGAAAUCUCCACCUUUAGUUCCUUCACACAUUUGUUUACUUAAAACUUGACCUUUUCAUCAUCUAUGACCUACAAUAUUUCAACCUUUGAAUAUAAAGAAACUUCGAGAUAAUCUUUCAUAAUAUCUUUAGGAAAAUUGUCAGAAAUUACCAUGUCCUCCAUAUCCUUACCUGCGAGAUCUUCAUUCUUGAUUGAAAGAUCAUCAUUAGCCACUAUCUUCUCCAACUUAAGGUUAAAAGACUAAAACUGUUUGUCAGCACCCUCUUUGGUCAUGUUAUCUUCAACAUGAUUAGAUAACUUUGAAAUUUUGCUUUUACCAAAUUCCUCCACAUAGACAAAUGAUUGUCUAGGUGGAAUUUCAGGAAUAGGUCAUAGGUAAGGUUAGCCUCGAGGUAAGUCUCCAAGUAUGUUCCUCUUCUCUUUGUGAUUCCUGUUUGUGUCACCCUUUAGCUGAUUUAGACCUGUUAUGGCUUGCUCCAAUCAAUCCAUUCUCCGUUCUUAAUCUGCCCAUGAGCCUGCACAACGCUACAGUGGGUCUCCACUCCUACAUUGCGAAGUGGGUUGCUACUGUCUCCAUCCAUCAAAGAGGUCAAAUUGCUCUGAUACCAAUUGACACGGCAUAUAGUGUGGAUUGAAGUUGGGAUUCUCAAGCUCUAAGGUUAAAGACCUAAGUUGUAGAGAAAUUUAUAGAAAAUUCUUUGAUAUUUUAUUAAAAGUCUGAAUAGUUUGAAACUGAGUCUCAAAAUUAACUAGACAUCUUUAUUUAUAUUAGUUAGAUAAAAAAUCCUUUAUAGGAAAGGAUUCCUAGUUAAAACUAAAAUCCUUUAUAGGAAAGGAUUUCUAAUUAAAACUUAUCUAACUAAUAGAAUCCAUCUAGGAUUAGAAUUUCCAGAGAGUAAAAUAUUAAUUAAAUUAAAAGGCCUAAUCUAAAUAGAGAAAAAGAAUUCAAACACAACAAGGCAAAUAAAAACAAUCUCGAAAAGUAACUUUCGAGAUUUAUUUGAAGGCCUUUCUGAUCUCCGAUCAUCAUAAAAUUUAAACCAAUUGAAAACAAGGCCUUCAAAAUUUUCUAUUAAAAUUUCAGUUCGAUCCAACAGUCGGAUUAAAAGUUAUGUCUGAUUUACCACAUUGUUUCUUGGACUCUUCUUAAACUCUUCAAAACCUAAAAAUUGUAACAAUUAAUGAAAUAAUGCGAUAAACAUUACUAUGUCAAGAAUAUUUUAGUUAAUAAGAUACAAAGAUGCAGAUAUGACAAUUCGUUAGUGAUUCUGCUGUGAUUUUUUUAUAUAGAUUAUAGUCUCAUAUGUUGCUUUUGUGGAAGUGACAUGAAAUCUGACUUCUUCUUUCUUUUUUUUAAUUUUAGGAGGCCAAAGCUCCAUCCCCGCAAACCAUAACACUGCAGAUGAUGCGGAUGAUGGUGAGAGAAAGAAGAAUUGCCUUUUCAUUGUUUGAGAUUCUCUUAAGCCAUUACUUUAAGUUAAACCUGCUAUGCAUUUUAUGAUUAUCAUCAAUUGACUCCUUUCUUGUGCAUGUAUGCUUUAUUUGAGAUAAUCAUGUUAUGUGCAUAAGUGUGAACUGCGCUUCUUAUCUGUUUCACAUACUGCUAGUUGAAAUUUGGUUUCAAGUCUUCAAAAAAUUGGCAUGUUGUGAAUACCUUCUUGUUGGUUCCUUUUGGAAAAUUGGAUCAGAGACUUGUGCAGGCUAUUAGUAUUGUAAGGUAUUGAGUUUAUUCAAUUGCAAGCCUGAUGCUUUUCAAGAUAUAAAGGAACAUGCUGCAAAUGUAGAAAUCAAUUUUGAUCUGUGGUUUUAUGUCUGAUUGCGGAGUCCUUUUUUCUCAACUUUUGAGACCAUGGAACUACCACUCUUAAUAGAUUAGAUUUUCACUUUGAACUUGGAUAUAAAAUAUUGGAAGAGGAUAGUUGAGUGUAUUAAGGUAACUCUUGGGAGUUUACUGUAUUUCUGAGAGUAUUUGUUGUUUUUACUUUUUCUCUACAGCAUAAGCAGACAAAAUAGUUGUUCUUUUUUACUGGAAAUGAAGACAUUAAUCAUUAAACUAUCAAUUCCUAUAUUCCUUGGAUUUGAUCUGUUGUGUUAUAUAUAUAUGAAAUUUUAAUGUUUCUAUCCUGAUUAUUCAGUCAACUGAAUGGUCUCUCUGCUCUGUGAAGUUUGUGCUUUCAUGAUGUUGGUCUGCUUUACUGGUUCUAGCUCUGAUCCAUUUUGAAGCUGGAUUUGCACAGGUUGUUUGCAUGUUUAUUAGAACUUUGAAAUCUUAAAUGGUAGACAGUUCUUUUUUCAUAUUAUUUCGAUAAUAUUCCUUGUAGCCUGGAA